Molecule: long non-coding RNA, 72579 nt
Filed under: Citrus maxima (pomelo)
Lineage: Eukaryota; Viridiplantae; Streptophyta; Magnoliopsida; Sapindales; Rutaceae
Description: long non-coding RNA (CMAX_LNC000490)
Source: RNAcentral
CAAAUUAUCCCCUCAUCAGAUAUUUCGUUAAAAUUCAUUCUGAAACACUAAAACUAAAUAAUUGAAUAUGGCUUUGCGGGUCGAUGAUGCCAGCAGCAAUGAGACUGCAAUUAUCACUUGUUUAGUUUCUGUGCUUGCCGUGGUUUACUUCGCAUGGAAUGUGAAAAAAUCAAGGAAAGCAAAUGCUAAACUUCCACCAGGACCUCGCGGCUUGCCUGUAGUCGGAUACCUCCCAUUUCUCGGAACUACUGACUUGCACAAGAAAUUCACGGAAUUAUCCGGAGUUUAUGGUCCGAUCUUCAAGCUCUGGCUCGGAAACAAAUUAUGUGUCGUGGCGAGCUCACCUUCCCUAGUUAAACAAGUGGUUCGAGAUCAAGAUACAACAUUCGCCAACCGUGACCCGCCGAUCGCUGUACUAGCGUUCACCUAUGGUGGCAAUGAUAUUGCAUGGUCCAAUUACGGUCCCGAAUGGAGAAAUUUGCGCAAAGCUUUUGUGGGCAAGAUGAUGAGUAACGCAAGCCUUGAUGCUUGUUAUGCUCUAAGAAAACAAGAGGUUAAAAAUACUAUCAGGGAUUUGUACAACAACGACAACAAAAUUGGUAAGCCCAUCGACAUUGGUGAAUUGUCAAUUUCAACCUUGGUAUGUGUUAUUCAGAACAUGCUGUGGGGUGAAGCGCUUGAAACAAGAGAGGAAGGGAUCACUAAUCUUGGGGCUGAGCUAAAAUUUAAGCUGGCAGAACUCAUGGUCCUAAUGGGAACACCGAAUAUUUCGGACGUCUUUCCAGUGCUUUCAUGGUUUGAUAUACAAGGUAUAGAGAGGAAAGCAAAGAAGAUUUCACUCUGGUUUGAAAAUAUUAUAAAUUCUACUGUUGAAAAGUAUAGAAGCAAGGACUUUAUUGUUGAAGGUAAAGAAAGAGCAGGGGAAAAUUUUGAAGGAUCAAGGAACAAGAACUUCUUGCAGUUACUAUUGGAGCUUCAAGAAAAUGAAGACGGUUCUUCCUCAAUUAGCAUGAACCAAUUUAAGGGCGUGCUCGCGGUAUGUUAAGCAACUAGCCACGAACAGUUAUACAAGCACAGUUGUAUAUUUGCAUGAGUGACGCUUCUCAACUUUUUUUAAUUUUUUAAAUUAAAGUUUUAUUGUAAUCUUUUGAACAGGAUAUAAUUACGGGUGGAACCGACACCACAACUACGAUGGUGGAAUGGACAAUGGCAGAGUUGAUGCAGCAUCCACAAGUAAUGAAGAAAGUUCAGGAAGAAUUAGCUCAAGUUGUGGGCAUGGACAGUUGUGUUGAAGAAUUUCAUUUGCCUAAACUGAAAUAUUUAGAUGCUGUGGUGAAAGAAUCGUUUCGUCUGCAUCCUGCAGUGCCUUUAUUAGUACCACGCAGAGCAAGCGAGAGUGGCAGCAUUGGUGGCUAUACCAUUCCCAAAGAUACAACUCUUAUGUUGAAUGUUUGGGCUAUCCACAGGGACCCUCAACUUUGGGAUAAUCCCUUAGAAUUUCGACCCGAGAGGUUUCUGAAUGUUGGUGUCGAGAGUAAGUUCGAUUACUCAGGUAACAAUUUUCAGUACUUACCUUUUGGUUCUGGUAGAAGAAUGUGUGCUGGGAUUCCUCUAGCUGAGAGGAUGCUGAUGUUUGUUUUGGCUUCGUUAUUGCACUCAUUUGAGUGGGAAUUGCCAGCUGGCACAAAGCUAAAUUUAUCUGAAAAAUUUGGGUUUGUCAUUAAGAAAAAAGAGCCUUUGGUUGCUAUUCCAACACCAAGACUAUCCAAUUCAGAGCUUUACCAUUAAAACAGAAUGAUUGUGAUGAUUUUGUUAGUAUCGGAAGAUUUGUAUGUUAUUUCAAGUUCAAUCGUAAUAAAAUAUUUUAAUAAAAGUCCUCCGUUGCUAAUUUUUUUUUUCAACGGCAUAAUCUGUCAUCAUGCUUGUGUUUGGAGCUACUUUGGAAUGAUUAUUUUUGAAUUACAAUUUAUAAAUAUUUAGGUUUUAAAUUUUUUAUAAGAGUCUAAAUUUAUACACGUUCAGUAAAAGAUUCCCUAAAAGCUUUACAAUUCAAAAUUCUAUUAAAAGUAUAGAUGAAACUUUUAUACCUACUAAUUUUUUGGUCUAUUCUACAAGUUUAAAGAGGAGAUAUUUCUAGAGCUAGCAAAAAGAGCUACCUGAUUGUUUUCGCGUUAUGUCAAUUUUUUUAUUGUGUUAAAUUUAAUUUGACCCACAUAUGACCCAUUUAAUAAUCGUGUCAAAAUAUUGAAACUUGAACUUGAUACGGAAAAUAAAUGGAUGACCACACACACCCAUUUAAGAAUUAGGUAACUAUGUCACUUAAUACGACAUAACCCAAUAACUCGUUUAAUACAUAUUUAACAUAAUUUACAUUGUACAUUGUACACCCUUUUGUCAUAAAUUACACUAUUUUAUAUUUCUAAAUAAUAUUAUAUAUUGAUAUUAUAAAAAAAUAUCAAUAAUCUCAAAAUUUGUACACCUCCUAACUUUUAAAAAGAAAUAAAAAAACUAAUUAAUUAAUGUUUAUUUUAUUCAUUAAUAUAUCAUAAUCCUACAUGUAUUUUAUUUGUUAUUUUUUUUAUUUAAAAAGAUAGGAGGGUGGAUGAAACUCAAAUAAAUUUUUAGCCUAUCCUGAUCUUUCAAGUUUCUUAUUUAGGAGGCCAGUUAAAAAAAAUUACUUAGAAAGCUACUCCAUCAAUUUAACAAAUUUUAUUUAUUUAAUUAAUGGAGGUGUAGAAAAUAAAAGUAUCUGCAAGCACAUUGCAAUAGUGAAAGCAAUGUACCGGUGUUGCAACAUAACUGAAUCUUGAUAACCUAUCACAUAUUUUAAGUUUUAAUAUUGGUAGUUCACGGAUCGGUUUCUACUUCCACGAACAAUUAUUGAAGGAAAUGAGUUUUUUUUUUAAUGAAUAUUUAUAGACCCCGAUUAAAUAUUCGAAUAUAUAAUAAAAGAGAAACUGACAUAGAAAUGAGAAAGAUAUUUGGAGGAGGCCAAAAAAAAAAAAAAAAAUGCAACAGAGAAUUAGAUCAGCAACACAAGUAACUAAUUAAUUCAUCUAUACAUCAUAAUCCUAUUUGUAUCUUCUUCCUUCUACUAAUUUACAUAUAAAUUUGGUUAGAUAAAACAUAUUUUAAUACUCGGUCACAAGCGGUGGAUAUAGAAAAUUAAUUUAGAGGGGGUAAUACCAUAACGAAAAAUAAUGAUUCAUAACUAAAAUCAACCCCAACAUCAAAACUUAUUUACAAGAUUACGCCCAGUCAAAGGUAAUUUUUCCUAAAAACUAAUACGAAAUUAAAUAAAUUUAACUUUUAGUGGGUUCAAGUGCCCACGCAUUCUGAACGUAGAUCCACCCCUGGCCCCGACUGAAGCAUUUUUUACAAUAUGUACUCAGUUUAUCAACAGGAACAACCUUCCACUUUAAAUUAAAAUUUUCACUUAAAAAUGAUUAAUGUUAAUGAGGUUAGCAACAAAAAUGAGUUUAAUUAGAGAAUAUUAUAAGAGAAAUUAUAUUUUUUGACUUUUAAUAAAUUAAAAUAUUAUUAGUUGGUGGUGGUUUCACGUCAGAUUAAGACGUGACACUUUACUUAUGAGGUCGAGACAAUCGACUUAAACUAUUUCAAUGCAUUUGAAAUUUGCACUAAUGGCUAUCAUUCUUUGUCCAAAUUAAUACGAUAAUUAAUAACAUACAAUUGAAAUAAUUAAUACUAGCACUUGGCAAUAAAUAAAGCUCUUGUGCUUGAAUCGUCACACAUGAUCACUUCAUUCCUUUAUUUACUUUGCUACCACAAAUUUUGAGGCAUUAUAACUAAAUAAUAAUUGAAUAGGGCUUUGUGUUACUUGUUGUGCGCGCGGAAUGCGGAAUCAAGCACACCAAAUUAUUACAGAAAAAUAAAGGACACAAUUAUUUGACGUGGUUCGGUAAUUAAACUUACAUCCACGGAGGCAAGAAAGAAUAAUUGUUUAUUUAACAAUUAAUAGAGUACAAAUAUUUGAGUAACGAAUCUCACUUCUCAGAAACCUAAAUAUACCCAAUACUCUCACACUCUGCAGGAAAGAUAAAUUAUCCAAACACACUUCUCUCACUUCUCUAAAAAACUUAAAAAUUUAAAAACUUAACAAUUUUGGAAUGCUUUAGAAUAGAAGAAGUGCCAUCUUAUAGGAAAAAUAAUGAUACUAUUGCACCAACCUCUUUACUAUUCCACCUAACAUAAGCAAAUUGUCAAUAGUGUCCAUUUAACUUUUUAUUUUUUUUCUUCAAUUGUUUAGUAGCCCUUUAAAAAUCUGCGUGGUUUCUUGAAAUUUAGAUGCCACAUGCAUGACUUUUCAACACUAAUUACUACGAUAAUUAAUAUUAGCACUUGGCAAUAAAUAAAGCUCUUGUGCUUGAAUCGUCACACACGAUCACUUCAUUCCUUUAUUUGCUUUGCUACCACAGAUUUUGAGGCAUUAAAACUAAAUAAUAAUUGAAUAUGGCUUUGUGCGUCGAUGACGCCAGCAACAAGGGGACCACAAUUAUCACUUUUUAAGUUGCUUUUAAAAUUGAUUUUAAUAGUGAUUUGAUUAUUGUAGUGUUUUUAUUUUUAUAUUAAAAUUAAGUCGAUUUGUUAUAAUAAACUUAGUUGAGUUUAAUGGUAUUACUACAUAAAUUGAAUAGUCAUCAAAUAUUUUAAUGUUUUUAUGGCAAGUGUUGACGUGGCAUUUAUUUGUUGUAUGAUGGAUUUUAAAAUUUAUAAAAUUAUUUGUUAUUAAAUUACCCCCAGAUGCUGCAUCACCUGAAACUUAAUAAAGGGCAUGUAGCAUUGCCAUUACUCAACAUUCACUCUUAUGACUUUAUGACAUUAGAAUUAAAAUCUUUCGUACAUUUAAUUUGUUUGCUUCCAGAUUAAUCUUUAAAAAUAUUUUUUUCACAUUAUCAUGAAUGGACAAAACUCCAACGAAAAUAACUACGCAAGAGCAAUCUAUGCUAGUAUUAUAUGCCACGAUAUCUAUAACUUUGUCAGGUCUCAGGAUCGAUCAUUCUAAUUUUUACGCAGAACUUUUAAUCAAUGGACAAACACCUCACCGAGCUUGUCGGCAGCAUUACUACGAUGUAAAAUUGUACCGGAAUAUCUUGAAGUAUUAGUAGAAUAAUGAAGACUAUUUGGAGCAAUAAAAACAAAUAACGCAGAUAAAAAAAAUGGCUAAAAUUAUGUAAGUGAGCCCCAAAGUUUUUGCUAUUUCCAGGAAAUCCCAAAUUUGAAUGGACUAGAGGGAGGCACGUAAGAAAUACAUUUUCUUCCUAGACAAUGACAGCUAUGACAUCAAGCCACGUAUUGAAAUUAAGGUGUAAUUAUUCAGCCAAUGAGCCUUACACACCAAGAUGUAUAAAAGUCAAGAAAAUGAAAUUUUAUCCCAAUUAAAACACUUUCUGGCUGCAAUUGGCUGUUUCCAUUUGAAGUUAAAAAACAACAACGUUUCUUUCGUUUUGUGGGCGAUUCGAUUGAGCACGCGCCACGAGCUAGCUGGCUUCCAGUGCUUGCGUGUGACAAUAGAAGGCUAGUGAUUUCACUUUCGCUUUUUUUUUUUUUUCUUUUUUUUGGGGAAUCAAGAUAAAAGCCAAGAAAAUGAAAAUUGGGCUGUUUCCAUUUGAAGUUAAAAACAGUGUUUCUUUCGGGGCGUCAAUUUGAUAUUUGAAUGGACAGGCAAGUAAGAAAUACAAUUCCUUCAUAGACAAUGACAACGAGGACAUCAAGGCACAUCAUUAUAGUUUGUAGCCCAUCUACAUUUAAACGAUUAAUAAACAAGCUUAGGUGUGCCACUGCUAUUAUUAAUUAUCCCCUGAUCAUUAUAGUUUCUGAAACAGUAAAACAAAACGAAAUUGAAUACAUCAACGAGAUCGCAAUUAUCACUUGUUUAGUUGCGGUAUUUAACUUAAUUUUAAUCUAAUAUAUUUGUUAGUUAAACUUUUAAUAAUCAAAUAAUUUUGACUUAAAAAUAAAAUUAUAGAAAUUAUUAAUUAUUAAAAAUUCACACAUAGCUAUUGUUUUCUCUAUAUAUUGCAGUGUGUACGAUAUUGAGGGUUGAAGCCCAAAGCAUGCCCUAAAAUCCAGAUAAUAAUUAGAUCCGGGCCAAAUAUUCAUCAUUGUGUCGGCUGAUCAGUCGGUGGACAUCUCUAUUGAAAAAAUCUCUGACAUUUCUCUCGACAAACUUAUUACUAAAAAAAAAUCAGUGGUUUUGCCGUCUGAAUAAUGUAGAAAAAUUUGUCUGUGCAUUAAUCUAGAUGUUUGAGGUGAUUUAUACAUCUGUGAUAAAGAUUUAUAGGUUGACUUAUACGUCUGUGGUAUAGAUUUUAUGUAUUUCAUUACAAAAUGCUGGCCGUUAGAACCCUUUCUACAUCUAUUUAUAAGAUUAACGGGUGCCAGUUAUGCCAUUACAAAUUAUCCCCUCAUCAGAUAUUUCGUUAAAAUUCAUUCUGAAACACUAAAACUAAAUAAUCGAACAUGGCUUUGCGGGUCGAUGAUGCCAGAAGCAAUUCGACUGCAAUUAUCACUUGUUUAGUUUCUGUGCUUGCCGUGGUUUACUUGGCAUGGAAUGUGAAAAAAUCAAGGAAAGCAAAUGCUAAACUGCCACCAGGACCUCCCGGCUUGCCUGUAGUCGGAUACCUCCCAUUUCUCGGAACUACUGACUUGCACAAGAAAUUCACGGAAUUAUCCGGAGUUUACGGUCCGAUCUUCAAGCUCUGGCUCGGAAAUAAAUUAUGUGUAGUGGUGAGCUCACCUUCCCUAAUUAGACAAGUGGUUCGUGAUCAAGAUACAACAUUCGCGAACCGUGACCCACCGAAGGCUGCACUAGUGGUCUCCUAUGGUGGCAAUGAUAUUGCAUGGUCCAAUUACGGUCCCGAAUGGAGAAAGUUGCGCAAAUUUUUUGUGGGCAAGAUGAUGAGUAACGCAAGCCUUGAUGCUUGUUAUGCUCUAAGAAAACAAGAGGUUAAAAAUACUAUCAGGGAUUUGUAUAACAACGACAACAAAAUUGGCAAGCCCAUUGACAUUGGUGAAUUGUCGUUUUCAACAUUGGUAUGUGCUAUACAGAACAUGCUGUGGGGUGAAGCGCUUGAAAUAAGAGAGAAAGGGACCACUAAUCUUGGGGCUGGGCUAAAAUUUAAGCUGGCAGAACUCAUGGUGCUUGCGGGAACACCGAAUAUUUCGGAUGUCUUUCCAAUGCUUUCAUGGCUUGACAUACAAGGUAUAGAGAGGAGAGCAAAGAAGAUUUCACUCUGGCUUGAAAAUGUUAUAAAUUCUACUGUUGAACAGCAUAGAAACAAGGAGUCAACUGUUGAAGGUGAAGAAAGAGCGGGGAAAAAUUUUGAAGGAUCAAGGAACAAGAACUUCUUGCAGUUACUAUUGGAGCUUCAAGAAAAUGAUGACAGUGCUUCCUCAAUUAGCAUGAACCAAUUCAAGGCCGUACUCAUGGUAUGUUAAGUAACUAGCAACGAACAGUUAUACAAGCACAGUUGUAUAUUUGCAUGAGUGAUAUUUUCAACCUUUUUUUUUAAUUAGAAUUUUAUUGUCACCUUUUGGACAGGAUAUAAUUACGGCUGGAACCGACACCACAGCUACGAUGGUGGAAUGGACAAUGGCAGAGUUGAUGCAGCAUCCACAAGUAAUGAAGAACGUUCAGGAAGAAUUAGCUCAAGUUGUGGGCAUGGACAGUUGUGUUGAAGAAUUUCACCUGUCUAGAUUAAAGUAUUUAGAUGCUGUGGUGAAGGAAACAUUUCGUCUGCAUCCUGCAGUGCCUUUAUUAGUACCACGCAGAGCAAGCGAGAGUGGCAGCAUUGGUGGCUAUACCAUUCCCAAAGAUACAACUCUUAUGUUGAAUGUUUGGGCUAUCCACAGGGACCCUCACCUUUGGGAUAAUCCCUUAGAAUUUCGACCCGAGAGGUUUCUGAAUGUUGGUGUCGAGAGUAAGUUCGAUUACUCAGGUAACAAUUUUCAGUACUUGCCAUUUGGUUCUGGUAGAAGAAUGUGUGCUGGGAUUCCUCUAGCUGAGAGGAUGCUGAUGUUUGUUUUGGCUUCGUUAUUGCACUCAUUUGAGUGGGAAUUGCCAGCUGGCACAAAGCUAAACUUAUCUGAAAAAUUUGGGAUUGUCAUUAAGAAAAAAGAGCCUUUGGUUGCUAUUCCAACACCAAGACUAUCCAAUUCAGAGCUCUACCAUUAAGACAAAAUGGUUGUGAUGAUUUUGUUAAUUUUCCGAAGAUUUGUAUGUUAUUUAGUUCAAUCGUAAUAAAAUAUUUCAAAUAAGAGUCCUCCGUUGCUUUUUUUUUUUUUUUUUUUUCAACGGCAUAAUCUGUCGUCAUGCUUGUAUUUGGAGCUACUUUGGAAUAAUUAUGUUUGAAUUACAAUUUAUAAAUAUUUACGUUUUAAAUUUUUUAUAAGAGUCUAAAUUUAUACACGUUUAAUAUCCCGCUUCAUAGAUAUUUAACACAAUUUAUAUCAUACAUUGUAUACCCAUUUGUCAUAAAUUAUACUAUUUUGUAUCUCUAAAUAAUAUUACGUAUUGAUAUUAUAAUAUAUAUAUAUAUGUUUAUCAAAAGACUAUACCAUUCAAUAUAUAUUGAAAAGAGAACAAAGAAGAUUUUCUUAUGGUUUAAAAAUAUUAUGAAUUCUGCUGUUGAACAGUAUGGAAACAAGGUCUCUGUUGUUAAAGGUGAAGAAGCAACAGGGAACAAUAUUGAAGGAAGAAAUUUCACAUGUUUAGUUGCUGAAUUUGCCGCUGUAUUCUAUCGGUAGUAGAGUUUUUAUUUUUCUCUAUUAAUUUAAGUCAAUUUUCUAUAACAAAUUCGGUUGAGUUUAAUUGUGUUAUAAUAUAAAUUGAAUGAUAAUAGAAUUUUCAACAAAUAUUUCAAUAUUUCUAUCUCGAUUGUUGAAGUGCCAUUUAUUUGUUAUGCGAUCGAUUUUAAAAUUUAUAAAAUUAUUUGUUACUAAAUUGCAUCAUAUGCUAAAAUCACCUGAAACCUAAUUCCAUAACUAACCCUUUAUUUUUAGUUCUCAAGAAAUCUUGUAAGAACAAAAAUCUUUUAUAACAAAACUUUUACAACACAUUAAUUUGUAACUCAUUCCUGUGCGCGAAUCACUCUCAAUUUCCUUCAAUUGCUGUUUAACAAUCAUCUACUUAUCAAAAUUCAAGCAUAAUCUUUUUUUUUUAAUUUCUUCAUCAUUCUUUAAAAAAAAAAUCAGGAUAUGCUGUUAAAUUUUGAAAUAAAUAAAUUAACCAAAGUUGGUUGAUGUGAGUGGUUCAAUGAUGAGCAUAAUUUAUAUACAUAUUUUACCUUUAAUUAUAUAAUUAUUAGUUAUUUUUAUUAGUUAUUUUUAAUUAAUUGAAUUAUUUUAUUGCAUAGAGAAUUAAUUGGAGAUUGGGAAACAAAAAGUGCAUAAAGAAUAACAAGUUUGGGAAAGCAUCAAUCAAAGCCGUGACGCAAUUAAGAGUUUAUAGCAUAUGAAGCCAAGAGUAAUUUGCACUCAAAAAGAAUUUCAAUUAUUCAAGUGACCUGGACCUGCAUGGCAUUGUAAUGCAUGGAAAGCAACUUAAAGGGGCCCACACUUGGCUUUUACAAUUGGAAAAAGGAAUCCUAGUGCAAGCUUAAUUGAUGAGCACGUGAGUGAGAGCAAAGAAAAUUAAAAGGCCAAGCCUUUUGGCUUAAGGAAAUAACAAGGUCGGUGGGGCCCAUUUUAAAGAGUAAUAUAAAAGCAAGCUUUUGGCUUUUGGAGAGAGGAGCCGCGAGAGGAGGAAAACGCAAGACAAAGAGAAGAAAAUCUGCAGCAGUUCGGCUUCUAUGGUUGGUUUUAUCUCUUUUGUUACUCUUAAUUCAAAUAUGUCUAGUUAAUUUUCUUAUAUUAAAGUUAAGGAUGAAACCCUAUUCAAUGAAAUAAUUAUCUUUUUAUUUAUUUAAUUCCCAUAUAUGUUCUUUAAUGAUUAUGAUUUUUAUUUCACAUGAUUAAUUGGAUGUUAUUAAAAUUUUUUCAUCAAUUCUGUCAUGCAUUAUUGAUUGUUAGGAUUAAUAUUCAAUUAAAUCUAUACUUAGAUUUAUAACGUUUAUACAUGAUUAUCUUUGAUUCUAUGUCUUUCAUUAAAUUGUUUACAUGGAGUGCUUAGGAAAACUUUGACUCUUUGUUAUUCAAUAUGUUCACAUGGGAUACUUAGAUGUCAUACUAUUAAGCGGAAAAAGAACCUAUAUUAGAUUUAAUUAUUUGGGCUUAAUUGUUAUAUCCAUGAGAUGACACAAAUUGAUUUCGAGUUGUCACUCUAAAAUUAGAGAUUAAUGAAUAUUUAGAUAAUUACUAGUUGAAUAGCGGUGGAUUCUGAAACCUUGGUAAUUUCUAUCUUAUUGAAUUCUCCUUUACUUUAAUUGUUUUCUUAGUUUAAUUAAUUUAAUUUCUUUUAAAACUCAAUUUGCUUAACUAGGUUAGAAUUAAUAUUAAUUUUAGAUUUAAAUUAGACUUUUCAAUUUAUAACAAUCCAUGUGGGAUCGACCUCGUUACCACUACUUUAUUUCUAGAUUCGUGCACUUGCGAGUAUAUUAAAAUUUUCACAACAAGUUUUUGGCGCCGUUGCCGGGGAUUGUGCCAGAAAGUCAGUUUAAUCUAGGUUGAUUUGAUUCUUCCACUAGUUAUAAUUUAUGUUGUCUUUUAUUUUAUUAUUAUUUUUAAUUAACAAAAACACACAAAAAAACUUUUAUUUUUCUUUAAAUUCAUUGUUUGGUUGUUUGAUUUCUUUUAUUUUUUAAAUUUUGUUUAUUCUCAUUAUUGUUGGUUUAUUUUAUUUUAUUUUUUUCUUUCCUUGUCUAGUUAGUUUAUGAGUGUUUGGGAAUGUGAUUCAACAAAUCGUUUGGUAAAAGAGAGUCAAAAAUUGAUAGUAGUCAAGUUAGUUCUUCUGAAGUCAUGGAUGACCCAAAUAGAUUAUUGCCAAUACUUCCACCAGUGCAAGCAGAGAAAACCCUUAGAGAAUAUUUUUCACCACUUGCAGCCAACCAACCAUCUUGUAUUGUGUUGCCACAAACUACAGCAACACACUUUGAACUUUUUGAACUUAAGCCCUCAGUCAUCCAACUUUUACCAUCUUUCCAUGGGUUAGAGAGAGAGGAUCCAUAUUUGCACAUUAAGGAAUUUCUUGACAUAUGCUCUACAUUCCGUUUUCAAAAUUUUAAUGAUGAGUUAAUCAGGCUUCGUAUGUUAUCUUUCUCAUUAAAAGACAAAGCAAAAGCUUGGUUGAAUUCGCUUUCUGCUGGGUCUAUAACUACGUGGGAUGAAUUGAAUAAUAAGUUCCUCACCAAGUUUUUCCCUAUGUCUAAAACAAAUGCCCUUAGGAGAGAGAUAAGUGAUUUCUAUUAAAGAGAGGGUGAGCAAUUUUAUGAGUGUUGGGAAAGAUUCAAUGAUUUACUCCUCAAGUGCCCCCACCAUGGUUUUGAGAAAUGGAGACUUAUACAAUGCUUUUAUAACGGUUUAACCAUGUCGAAUCGUCAUAUGGUAGAGUCUAUGAAUGGUGGGAGAUUUUUGAACCUACAUGAAGGGGCUGCAUGGGAUUUCUUUAAUUCACUUUCUGAGAAUUCUCAACAGUGAGAUUUUUCAAGCCAAAGGGAAAAAUCAUCUCAAGUUUCUAGAAAGGGGUUAUAUGAAGUUAAGGAUGAUUUUGAUGUGAAAUCCACUCUAAUUACACUUUCUAGAAAAGUAGAUGCCUUAGCUCUGAACCAAUCAAUGAAUCAUCAUCCUAGUGUAGCUAAUGAGGUUUGUGCUAUUUGUUCUAACUUGUCUCAAACAGCACAAAACUGUCCAUCAUUACCAGUCUAUCCAGAGGCUUAUUCUGAGCAGGUACAUGCCUUACAAUCAUAUGAGAAAACCUCCAAUAAUACAUAUUCACUCACAUAUAAUCCUAAUUGGAGGAAUCACCCUAAUUUUUCUUGGAAACAAAAUCAAUCUUUGUCAAACCAAGGAGGACAACAAUUUAACAUGCCCAAUCAACAAUUUGUCCCUCCUAACCAAGUAUAUCCUCCUGCCCAACAACCUAUAUCUCAAUUUGUUACACCCCAACAAAGAAAACCUUCUUUAGAGGAUACACUUCAAAGUUUCAUUCAGUCAACCUAAUAAGCUUUUCAGUCAAACACUCAAGCUAUUCUAAAGCUUGAACAUCAAUUGGGUCAAUUAGCAACUACUGUAGCGGAGAAAGAAAAAAGAAAAUUCCCCAGUCAAUCAAUUCCUAAUCCUAAAGGAGUGCAUGAAGUUGGAUCGAGUUCAAGCCAUCAGCAUGAAGAAGCAAAAUCAAUUAUGACCUUGAGAAGAGGAAAAUUGUUUGACAACAAAGUGGAGGUUCAAACAAAGAAGACAUCUGAGCCUACUUCUUCAGAUCCAAUUACAUCACAAGAAUCAUCACCAAAUGAUCUUGAAGAGAGUGACCCGCUAGCUUACAUUCCCAAGGCUCAUUUUCCUCAAAGGUUAACAAAGGUAAAGAAAGGGACUUCAACAUGUGAGAUUAUAGAAAUCUUCAAGCAGGUAAGUAUAAACAUCCAUUUACUCGAUGCUAUUAAGCAAGUUCCUUCCUAUGCCAAGUUUUUGAAAGAUUUAUGCACUAAAAAGAGAAAUUUGCAUGUCACUAAAAAGGCGUUUUUAACUGAACAAACUAGCAAUUUACUUCAAUGUAAAAUGCCACCAAAAUUUAAGGAUCCUGGUUCUCCUACUAUUUCAUGUGUUAUAGGGAACCAAUGUUUUGAUAAAGCAUUAUUGGAUUUAGGUGCUAGUGUUAAUCUCUUACCUUAUUCCAUUUACAUGCAGCUUGGACUAGGUGAGUUAAAAUCAACUCCUAUUAUUUUGCAACUUGCUGAUAGGUCAAUGAAAAUACCUCGUGGUAUUAUAGAGGAUGUGUUGAUACAGAUUGACAAAUUUUAUUAUCCUGUUGAUUUUAUUGUUAUUGAUACUCAACAUGUACAUGAUCUUAAGAAACACACUCCACUUAUUCUUGGUCGUCCUUUCUUAGCUACAGCUGAUGCUCAUAUUAGUUGCAGGACUUGAAACAUGCAAUUGUCUUUUGGUAACAUGACCAUGGAAUUAAAUAUUUUUAAUGUUCCCAAGCAGGCACAAGAAGAUGAUGAAGUCGUUGAAGUAGAUAUGAUAGAAGCAUCAAUUGAUGACUCACUUAUUUCUAACCAUUGUGACAAUCCAUUAAUACCUUGCACAACUGACUCUGAUUUCUCUAUUGAUGUUGAUAGUGAUAUUGAAGAAGUUAAUGCUUUACUUGAUUCGACUCUUAUCAUAGAUCUAAUUAAGUGGAAAGAAAAGAUAAGAUUGAGCCACUUCCUCCUGAAGAGAAAAGUGCAACAUAGGUCACAUUCUGACAUAAAAAAGGUGGUAAGAUCUAAAACGCUUAAAUUAUUAGAUUUUUAUACUACUUUAGAUAACUCUCAGGAAAGCUUAGAACAGAAGAGAUCAAAGCAAUGCGAUAUUGAGGAGUUUCAUUACCAUCAUCCUUUUAUGGAUAAAAUGCUCCAGUGCUUAAUCAAUUAUGCUUUUUGGUAUUUUCUAUAUAAUUGCUUUAAUUUUCACCAAAUUCUUAUUGAUCCUGGUUGAUUUGUUGUUUACAUUAAUUAGUUAGUUAGUCGGAUUUUUUUAUUAUUAUUUAUAUUUCUUCUAACGUUUUCUUUUGAGUUGUCAUUCUUUUAAGUUUUCCUAGCUCAGUCAGGUGUGUUCUCUCCAACUUUCUCUUUUAUUAUUUAUGUUUUUAUUUUUCAUCUUUUUGCGUGCAUAUCUUUUAUUUAUGACACAUUGAGGACAAUGUUCCGAAUAAGUUUGGGGGUGGGAAUAAUGUUGCUUUGUUUGUUAAAAAAAACUAAAAAAAAAUUUCAAAAAUUCAAAAAAAAAUUGUGUUUUUUUUGUUUUUACGUGAAAAGCCAAUGAUAAAAACUUGAUUGACAAUGAAUAUGGUUUUUAGAAAGGGUUUAAUAUUGUCUUAAUUUAUACUUGAUUCUUAUGUUAGUUCCUCUUGAUUGAGAUUCUUUAAAAUAUAAGCACUAAUAUCAAUUCUUUCAUAAUUUUGACUUGAAAUUUGAGAUUGACGCAGCCUGAGUUGAGAAUUUUAGAUAGAGUAAAUGACUGUUUGUCUUUAUUCUUAUCUCCACAAUACAAAAUAGUAUACACAGGCACCAAAGUCAGAAAUAACUACCUAUAAUCCUUAAGAGUGAAGCUAUCCUUGAGUAAUUUAGGCCUAUGUACCACAAGUAUGUAGAGGAUAAUCUACCAUGAGAAGAAUGCUACCUUAAGGGGUAGAGUGAAAGCUCCUGACUAUGGUUAAAAAAAAAAGAAGAAGAAAAAGAGAAAGAAAAAAUCAAAUCAAGUGCAUGUGCUGAAAAAAAAAUCAAAAGAAAAUGCACAUAAAAGCCUGUGAAAAAAAAAUUGGAGAUUAAGAUGAUAAGAUUAGCUUGACCUACUCUUUUCUUUUUUUGAGGCGAAGGUUGUUGAUAUUGAAGAUUUUAGGAAUGAAUUUGAUUGAAUUGAUUUCACACACACACAACAAGAAUCGAAAGAGAGAUGGGAUUGAUUAUUGAAUUAAAGUUAGAACUUUGCCAAUAUUUGAAAUUUUGUUUGAGCUAUAUAAUUUAUGCAAUCUUUGAGGGUAUUUUCAUAUUUUAUUUAAAGUUUUUUUUUCUUUUUAUUUUAUUUUAUUUAUUUUUUAUUUUUUUAAAAUGAUGUUUGUGGGUGUCAUCACUGAAGCUCUCACGAGACUAUAACUCGUCCACUAGGGGUUUAAAGGCUUGUUGCAUACGCUAAAUGCAAUCGCGAUUACCUGCGAAAAUGGUUUAGUUAGGAUUUACUUUUUGUUUUGUUAUUUUUUUUUUUUUUUUUAGUUUUAGCUUUGCUCGAGGACUAGCAAAAUCUAAGUUUGGGGGUAUUUGAUGAGCAUAAUUUAUAUACAUAUUUUACCUUUAAUUAUAUAAUUAUUAGUUAUCUUUAUUAGUUAUUUUUAAUUAAUUGAAUUAUUUUAUUGCAUAGGGAAUUAAUUGGAGAUUGGGAAACAAAAAGUGCAUAAAGAAUAACAAGUUUGGGAAAGCAUCAAUCAAAGCCAUGACACAAUUAAGAGUUUAUAGCAUAUGAAGGCAAGAGUAAUUUGCACUAAAAAAGAAUUUCAAUUAUUCAAGUGAUCUGGACGUGCAUAGUAUUGUAAUGCAUGGAAAGCAACUUAAAGGGGCCCACACUUGGCUUUUACAAUUGGAAAAAGGAAUCCUAGUGCAAGCUUAAUUGGUGAGCACGUGAGUGAGAGCAAAGAAAAUUAAAAGGCCAAGCCUUUUGGCUUAAGGAAAUAACAAGGUCGGUGGGGCCCAUUUUAAAGAGUAAUAUAAAAGCAAGCUUUUGGCUUUUGGAGAGAGAAGCCGCCAGAGGAGGAAAACGCGAGACAAAGAGAAGAAAAUAUGCCGCAGUUCGACUUCUAUGGUUGGUUUUAUCUCUUUUGUUACUCUUAAUUCAAGUAUGUCUAGCUAAUUUUCUUAUAUUGAAGUUAAGGAUGAAAUCAUAUUCAAUGAAAUAAUUAUCUUUUUAUUUAUUUAAUUCCCAUAUAUGUUCUUUAAUGAUUAUGAUUUUUAUUUCACAUGAUUAAUUGGAUGUUAUUAAAAUCUUUUCAUCAAUUCUGUCAUAUAUUAUUGAUUGUUAUGAUUAAUAUUAAAUUAAAUCUAUACUUGGAUUUAUAAAGUUUAUACAUGAUUAUCUUUGAUUCUAUGUCUUUCAUUAAAUUGUUUACAUGGAGUGCCUAGGAAAACUUUGACUCUUUGUUAUUCAAUAUGUUCACAUGGGAUACUUAGAUGUCGUACUAUUAAGCGGAAAAAGAACCUAUAUUAGAUUUAAUUAUUUGGGCUUAAUUGUUAUAUCCAUGAGAUGACAUAGAUUGAUUUCGAGUUGUCACUCUAAAAUUGGGGAUUAAUGAAUAUUUAGAUAAUUACUAGUUGAAUAGUGGUGGAUUCUGAAACCUUGGUAAUUUCUAUCUUAUUGAAUUCUCCUUUACUUUAAUUGUUUUCUUAGUUUAAUUAGUUUAAUUUCUCUUAAAACUCAAUUCGCUCAACUAGGUUAGAAUUAAUAUUAAUUUUAGAUUUAAAUUAGACUUUUCAAUUUAUAACAAUCCCUGUGGGAUCGACCUCGUUACCACUACUCUAUUUCUAGAUUCGUGCGCUUGCGAGUAUAUUAAAAUUUUCACAACAUUCGGCACUCUCACUCCUUAAGAGAGGUCAGGGGUUCAAGCCUCGCUCUCGUAUGGAGUCACCACUUUGACCAGCACUUUACCCCUUACAGACCGACCCGGUGCGAGCAUGAAUUAGUCUGGGUUGUGGUACGGGCUUAAAGGUGCCUCCCACAAUUGAGACCCACUCAGGACCACCUCGUGGUUCGGACAAAAAAAAAAUUGAAAUAAAUUAUCUCAAAAUAAUUACUAACCAGAAAAAACAAAGGGGUUUAACUAGGUUAUGCAUACCUUUGAAAAUUAUAUGUUGAUCGAUAAGCAUGAUGAUCACGAUUGAGGAGUUUAAUUAAAAUUUAUAAGAUUUUAAAAUUAAUCAGGGUUAAAUUCUAAAUUUUAGAAAGAGAGGUUUUGUGAGAAUGCUGAAAGGGUGUUAAUAGUUCCACUCUUUUUUAAAAAAACCAUAGUCAUCAUUUUUCCCGAUUUCUUCUUCCCAUCUCCAUCUUAUUUAGAAAUUUCCCAGAGCCUUUGUUUCCCACCAUUCAUUUUUCUUCUUUCUAAUUUAAGAUUAUAGUAUUAUAAAAAUAAUUACUCACAUUUUAUCAAACACCUCCAUUAUACCAAGGCCUUGUUUUAGUAGUAGGCUUUUAUUAUCUCAAUAAAAUUGAAAAAACAAAGCUCAAUAAUAUUGGAAAAAAAACCUACCCAUAUUUGUAACUUUAAUUUAUUAUUCUCCAUAGACCUACUUUUUAGCUUUGAAUUUUGUUGGAGCCAUAUAUAAACAGAAUAUGUUGAAAUCAGCACAAAAAAAAAACUAAUUAUAUAAUUUUUGUUCCCAAGGACACGACUGUGUGAUUUUUAAGAAGUUUUGUUUGGCUGGCCACUUAGGUUUAAAUCUUGGUGGAGAUUAGGGGUUAAGAAAUAAAUUUGGACUUUGCACACCCCUUUAACUUUUAAAAAGAAUGAAAAAAACUAAUUAAUUAAUCUUUAUUUUAUUUAUUAAAUGUCAUAAUCAUAUGCAUAUUUUAUUUGUUAUCUUUCUAUUUAAAAGAUAGGAGGGCAAAUAAAACUGAAAUAAAUGUUUAUCCCUAUCUCCAUCUUUCAAGUUCCAUAGUUAGGUGACCAGCUAAAGAAAAUUAAUUGAAAGUUACUCCAUCAAAUUAAAAAAAAUUAUUUAUUUAAUUUGUGGAGAUGUAGAAAAUCAAACCCCAUACCUUUUCGCAUGCAAAAGUGUCAACCUGGUCUAGCUAUGUUGCAACAGUAAACAUAUUUUAAUACAUGACUAUCAUCUUUUAUCCUAAAUACUACUAUAACUAUGGGUUCAGUUAUGCUGUAACUGUGGUAUGGUACCACAGUUGUUUUCAACCAUUAAAUUCAACUUAUAUAACUAUGCAACUGUAGAUCUAACGGCUGAAAGCAACUAUGGUACCAUACCACAGUUGCAACAUAGUUUUGCCCCUAUAACUCAUAACAUUCAAUUGAAAUAAUAAAUGUUAACACUUGGCUAUAAAUAAAGGUUUUGUACUUGAAUCUUCAUGCAUGACCUUCAUUCCUUUAUUGACUUUGCUAACACAGAUUUUGAGGCAUUAAAACUAAAUAAUAAUUGACUUUGUGGGCCGAGGAUGCCAGCAACAAGGAGACCACAAUUAUCACUAGUUAAGUUACUCUAAUUGCCGUUGUCUUAUAUUCAUAAAAUAUUAGUAAUAAGAUUAUUGUAGAAUUUUUUUAUAUUAAAAUUAAGUCAAUUUGUUAUAACAAAUUUAGUUGAGUUUAAUCGUGUUACUACAUACAUUGAAUAAUAAUAGAAUUCUCGACAAAUAUUUCAAUAUUUUUAUCCCAAGCGUUGGAGUGGCAUUUAUUUGUUAGACAAUCGAUUUUAGAACUUAUAAAAUUAUUCGUUACUGAAUUGCACCAUAUGCUGCAUGACCUGAAACUUAAUAAACGGAACGUAGCGUUGGCAACAUUCACUGUCAUGACUUUGUGACAUUAGAAUUAAAUUUUUUUGCACAUUUAAUUUGUUUACUUCCAAAUUAAUAUUUAACAAAAUAUUUUUUCACAUUAUCAAUGGACAAAACUCCAACGAAAAUAACUAUACAAUAUAUGCUAGUAUUGUAUGCCAUAUCAUCUGUAAUUUUGUCAGGAUCGAUCAUUUUAAUUUUUAAGCAAAACUUUUUAUCAAUGGACAAACACCUCACACAGCUUGUCAGAGGCAUUAUUAUGAUGGAAAACUGAUAAACAGUGAACUCGAAACUCAAUUACUACAAGUCGUUUAGAGGAUUCAGUCUUGGAUGACUUGUCACUUGUGGAAUUCUUGAAGCCAGAACCGACAUAAUCUCAGUCGUCAUUCUGUCUUAAGUAAUACACAUGGUUUGCAUGUGUGUUGAAGCUGACUCUUUGCUUGGAUCAAGAAACGACGUCUUUGAGUGCCGUUUCUUAAACACACUUUAAAUCAGCUUGUGUCAAGCACGUGAGGUAGAGCUUUUUGAAUAGAUUUGGCGGGAAUGGUAGUUAGUGUAACAACCCAGAAAUAGAGGUUAAAAGGUGAAGGCUUUGUCAUCAUCUACACAUGAUUUGGGAAACAUUGAGAGUAGAGAAAAAGAUAGAGAGAGAAAGGGGUUAACAAGUUCUUGUUCUCUGUAAAUCGAUUUAUAUUCUUGUAAAGUUUGUGAUCUCAAUUAGUGAAAGACUGUUGCUUUGUUUCCAGUGGAUGUAGGCACCACUUCUUGGUGCUGAACCACUUAUACUUGGUGUCAUAUUGUUUCUUUAAUGCUUUGAUUCUUGCGUGUGAUUGUUGCUGGAUAAUCUGUGCUGUUAAUUCUCAAACCAUUGAUACAGAAUUAAUGUCUUGGGGAGAAUUUGGUUAGUCUUAUCAAAGCCGAAUUCACAACAAAUUGGUAUCAGAGCCCUCUUUUCUGUAUCAAGGUUCAAGAAAUGACUAACAAGGUGGAUCUUGAGAAGUUCAAUGGUCAGAAUGAUUUCAAUAUGUGGAGGAUCAAGAUGGAAGCAUUGUUAAUCACACAAGGUCUGGGAGAUGCCAUUGAUCCAGUCAUUAAGAGUGAAAAUGCAGAAGCCUAUUCUUCAAGAACUCCAGAACAGAUGGCUAAGAUUGAAAAAAAGGCAAGAAGCACCAUCAUCCUCAGUCUUGGUGACUUAGUGAUAAGGGAAGUUGCCAAGAAAAAGACUGUUGCUAGGCUCUGGGCAAAACUGGAACAAUUGUAUAUGACAAAGUCCUUAGCAAACAGGCUAUACAUCAAGAAAAAGAUGUUCUCACUGAGGAUGAUUGAAGGAGCAUCACUUGAUGAACACAUAGAUGAGUUUAAUAAAGUUUGUGAUGAACUGGAAACAAUUGAUGAAGGACUGAGUGAUGAGAGCAAGGCUUUGCUGUUAAUCAGUUCUUCACCAAAAUCAUAUGAACAUUUUGUGGAUGCCUUGUUAUAUGGAAGGCAAUCACUCUCCUUGGAAGAGGUUAAAUCUACUCUUGGUACCAAGAAGUUAAAAGAAAAACAAGAUAACUCAGAGAGUGAAUCAAGUGAAGGGCUGAUGGCAAGGGGCAGAUCUGAAAAAAAGGAGUACAAAGGAAAAAAACAAGGGAGAUCAAAGUCAAAGCAGAAACAUUUGAAGUGUUUUCACUGCCACAAAGAAGGGCAUUUCAAGAGGGAUUGCCCUGAGAGAAAAACAAAGCAAAAGGAAUCAAAAGACAAAUCUGGAAAUACAGCAAUAGCCACAGAAGAAACCAGUUUUGAGAUAGCUGAAGUCCUCAUUGCCACAAAAGAAAAAAACUCAAGGUCAGUGGGUACUAGACUCUGGAUGUACUUUUCAUAUGAGUCCAAAUAGAAAUUACUUUACUACAUAUCAGUCCUGUGAUGGGGGUAUGGUGCUGAUGGGAAAUAAUUCAGUUUGUAAAGCAGUUGGGAUUGGGACUGUAAGCCUUAAGAUGUAUGAUGGCAUGGUUAGAGAACUAACUCAGUUUAGGCAUGUUCCUGAGCUUAAAAGGAACCUAAUAUCUAUUGGCAUGCUUGAUCAAACUGGAUGUGUCAAUAAGGCUGAAAAUGGGUCAUUGAAAGUUAUCAGAGGCUCAAUAGUCAUAAUGAAAAGUUCCAAGCAAAAUGGUUUGUAUGUGUUGAAUGGACAUACAACUGUUGGAGAGGCAAGUGUCACUGAGAAGAGUGAAGACAAAGCAAGACUAUGGCACUUGAGGUUGGGGCAUAUGAGUGAAAGGGGAUUGAAGGAGCUUCAAAAGAAUGGGGUGUUUGGAAGUGACAAGCUAAGUUCUUUGGGGUUCUGUGAAGACUGUAUCCUAGGGAAGGCUUCCAAUCUCAAGUUUGAAUCUGCAGUUCAUUCUACCAAAGAGAAGCUUGCAUAUAUACACUCUGAUAUGUGGGGGCCUGCACAGGUAAAUUCUCUUGGUGGCUUUAAGUAUUUCUUAUCCUUAAUAGAUGACUAUUCAAGGAUGGUUUGGGUGUAUGUACUCAAAACCAAAGAUGAAGCUUUGGAAAAGUUUUAGAGGUGGAAAAUUCUGGUAGAAACACAGACAAGUUUGAAAGUAAAAGCUCUAAGAACAGAUAAUGAAUUGGAAUUCUGCAACAAAGAGUUUGGAGACUUUUGUAAAAGACAUGAGAUUAUGAGGCACAAAACAGUCAUACACACACCUCAGCAAAAUGGUUUUGCUGAGAGAAUGAACAGAACCUUAAUGGACAAGGUGAGGUGUAUACUGCUAUACUCAAAGCUGCCUAAGUCACUCUGGGCAGAGGCCUUAAACACAGCAUGUUACUUGGUAAAUAUAAGUCCAUCUACAGCAAUAGAAUGCAAAACACCUAUCGAGCUAUGGUCUGGAAGGGUUGCAGAUUACUUUAAACUGAGAAUCUUUGGAUGUGUUGCUUAUGCAUAUGUCAAACAAGGCAAAUUGGAGCCAAGAGCUUUAAGGUGUAGAUUUCUAGGAUACCCUGAUGGAGUUAAAGGCUAUAGGCUAUGGUGCAUUGAUUUGAAGCCACCAAAAUGCAUUAUCAGCAGGGAUGUAACUUUCAAUGAGUCAGAAAUCUUGAACAAAUCCAAAACCACUUAAUCCAAAGAUCAUAUAUCAGAAACAAGACCUGGGAGUGUUCAGUUUGAGGUGGAGUCCUAUGAACAAGAUAGGACUGAAUCAGAAACUGAAGGAGAUUCAGGAAGGGUUACUGAUGGAUUUGAUGUUGUUCAGGAGUCAGAGCCAGCUGAGAAUGAAGAUAAUUCUUAUCAGUUGGUCAGGGAUAGAAAGAAGAGAGCUGUAAGACCACCUAAGAGGUAUACAAUAGCAGAUUUCAUAGCUUAUACAUUAACAGUUGCACAAGAGGUAAAUGAGGAAGAGCUAAGAACCUAUAAAGAAGCUAUAAACAGCAUGGAUAAGAUGAAAUGGAAGGAGGCUAUGGAUGAGGAAAUUGAAUCACUAAUGAAAAAUGGAACUUGGAAGCUGAUAGUUAGACUAGAAAAAAGGAAGACUGUUAGCUGCAAAUGGAUCUUCAAAGUUAAGGAAGGUAUAUCUGAUGCUGAACCUAGUAGGUUUAAAGCUAGGCUGGUAGCAAGAGGCUUCACACAAAGAGAGGGGAUUGAUUUCCAUGAAAUCUUCUCUCUAGUUGUGAAACAUGCCUCCAUCAGAGUCAUCUUAGCUUUAGUUGCCAUUCAAGACAUGUACCUGGAGCAUAUGGAUGUUAAAACAGCCUUCCUGCAUGGUGAAUUACAAGAAGAAAUUGUAAUGGAACAGCCUGGGGGGUAUGUGGUGUCUAGUAAGGAAAAUCAUGUGUGCUUACUAAAGAAAUAUUUAUAUGGAUUAAAGCAGUCUCCUAGGCAAUGGUACUUGAAGUUUGAUAGUUUUAUGACAAAACAUGCCUACAAGAAAUGCAAUUAUGAUUGUUGCGUGUACUUUAGGGACAUUGGUGAUGGAAAGAUGAUUUAUCUUAUGCUGUAUAUGGAUGACAUGCUUAUAGCAUGUCACAGCAUAGAUGAAAUCAGUCAUUUAAAGAAUCUCUUGAGCAGUGAAUUCGAUAUGAAAGAUCUUGGAGCUGUAAGGAAGAUCUUAGGUAUGGAAAUUAUCAGAGACAGGAGAAGGAAGCUUAUGUUUUUAACCCAACAGAGCUAUGUUAAGAAGGUGUUGCUUAGAUUUGGGAUGCAUGAAUCCAAGUCUGUUCAAACACCUUUGGCAAAUCACUUCAAGCUGUCUGCUGCACAUUGUCCACAAACUGAUGCAGAGCAAGGAAAAAUGGCAAGGAUACCUUACUCCAGUGCAGUUGGGAGCCUCAUGUAUGCCAUGGUUCUCACUAGACAUGAUAUCUCACAUGCUGUGAGUAUAGUGAGUAGAUUCAUGGCAAAUCCAGGUUAUGAGCAUUGGAGGGCAGUCCAGUGGAUAAUGAGGUACCUGAAAGGCACUAUGGAGUUUGGUCUGCUAUAUGGAGGGUUAAAACAGGAAGGGCACAAGCUGGUGGGGUAUGUUGACUCAGACUUCGCUGGAGAUCUUGAUAAAAGGAGGUCUCAGACAUGUUUUAUAUUCACUUUGGGAGGCUGCACUGUGAACUGGAAAGCUACUCUGCAAAGUGUGGUAGCUUUGUCCACAACUGAAGCCGAAUAUACAGCAGCUGCAGAAGCUUUUAAGGAAGUCAUCUGGUUAAAAGGAAUGGUCUCAGAGUUAGGAGCAAAACAAGAAACAGUUGAAGUAUACUGUGAUAGCCAGAGUGCAAUACAUUUGAGUAAAAACCAGACCCAUCAUGAAGGAACAAAACAUAUUGAUGUAAAGCUUCAUUUUGUAAGACUUGAAGUUUCAAAGGGAACUGUGAAGAUGCUCGAGGUUCACACUGAUCAAAAUCCAACCGAUAUGUUGACUAAAGCUGUGCCUUCUGCCAAGCUCAACUUCUGUUUGAGCUUAGCAGGAAUUUGCAGUUUCUGAUCAGCUGCAAAAGAAAGGGAAUAAAGUAUACAGGAGUAGCUAGAGUUCAGAGUUCACACUGAUUAAAAGGUGCAGGCUUUGUCAUCGUCUACACAUGAUUUGGGAAACACAGAGAGUAGAGAAAAAGAUAGAGAGAGAAAGGGGUUAACAAGUUCUUGUUCUCUGUAAAUCGAUUUCUAUUCUUGUAAAGUUUGUGAUCUCAAUUAGUGAAAGAUUGUUGCUUUGUUUCCAGUGGAUGUAGGCACCACUUCUUGGUGCUGAACCACUUAUGCUUGGUGUCAUAUUGUUUCUUUAAUGCUUUGAUUCUUGCGUGUGAUUGUUGCUGGAUAAUCUGUGCUGUUAAUUCUCAAACCAUUGAUACAGAAUUAAUGUCUUGGGGAGAAUUUGGUUAGUCUUAUCAAAGCCGAAUUCACAACAAAAACUGUAAUGGUAUAUCUUGAAUUAUUGGUAGAAUAGUUCUUUGGAGCAAUAAAAACAGAUAAGACAGAUGAGAAAAUUGUCAAUACCCCACCGCAAAAGCAAAAGAAAACAAGGAAAGGAGACAAAAGAGGAAGAAGAAAAAGAAAAAAGAACGAAGAAAAAAAUGGUGCCGUGCGGUAUAGGCAAGAAGAAAAAAUAAUAAAAAAUAAUAAAAUAAUAGUGCACAACAAUCAUUUGAUUGCUAUAAAUAAAAGGCGUUUCCCUCAUUUUAUUCAUCGAAUUCUUCAGUUCCUUUCAAGCGAUUUAAGAGUCUAGUGAUUUGAGAGUUUGGGUGUAGUAUGAUUUUGGGUAGUGAGCUAAAAUACUACAAUACUUGUAACUCAUUUUUAUUAGUAAAAUAUUUUCCUUCUGACUUCGCCCGUGGACGUAUGCUAAAAGCCGAAUCACGUAAUUUCUGGUGUCCCUAUGUGAUUAUGUGUCUCAUUAUUUCUUAAUUUCACUUUAGUUGCGUGUCUGCGACACCCCUCAAUUUAUUAACAAAAAAUGGCCAAAAUUAUAUAAGUGACCCAAAUUUUUUUGUUAUUUCCAAGAAAUCCCCAAUCUGAAUGGGCUAGACCAGAGGGAGGCAAGUUAGAAAUACAUUUCCUUCAUAGACAAUAACAGUGAUGAGUCGAUGACAUCAAGCCACGUCGGUAUCAAUAUUGAAUUAAAGGUGCAAUUAUUCAGCCAAUGAACCUUACACAUCAAGAUAAAAGUCAAGAAAAUGAAAAUUUAUCCCAAUUAAAACACUUUCUGGCUGCAUUUAGUUGUUUCCAUUAGAAGUUAAAAACAACGUUUCUUUCGUUUUGUGGGCAACUCAACUGAGUUAGCUGGCUUCUAGUGCUAGUAUGUGAAAAUAGAAGGCUAAUGAUUUAUUUAUUAUCUUUUGACAAAAUUAUUAAAGAUAUAAUAGAUUUUCUAUGAUACAAGUGAAAAAUCACAUCAACAUAGCUUUCAAUCUACAGCAGCUAGCGUUUACCAAACACUUUGUUGUAGCUUUUAAGCUAUAGCUGCCCAACCUCAAUCUCAAACGCACCCUUAAUAGGUUGAUUGAAUUUGUGAGAUAUGGAUUCCACAUAUCUCAUGACCUAGUAAUUAUACAAGUGGUUCGUGAUCAAGACACAACAUUUGCUUCCGGCCUAGUGACCCAGCAAUCGCUGCACUGGUCGCCACCUAUGGUGCCGACGAUAUUGCAUGGUCCAAUUGUGGCCUUGAAUGGAAAAAGUUGAGCAAAUUAUUUGUGGACACGAUGAUAAGUAACGCAAGCCUUGAUGCUAGUUAUGGUCAAAGAAAACAAGAGGUUAAGAAUACUAUCAGAGAUAUUCAUAACAACAAAAAGGAAAAAAAAAAGGCAUUUGCAAGCCCAUUGAUAUUGGUGAAUUGUCGAUUUCAACUUUGGCAUGUGUAAUCCAGAACCUGCGCGCUGUGGUAUGGCGCUGGCACGCUUGCAUUAACGAGGGGACAAGUCUUGGGGCUGAGCUAACAUUUAAGCUCGCAGAACUCAUGGUGCUAAUGGGAACACCAAAUAUUUUUUUGACAUAUUUUGGUGCUUUCAUGGUUUAAUUCAAGGUAUAGAAAGGAGUGUUGAGAAUGUCAAAUAAAACGGCAUUGAAUGGAAGUUGUCAAAGACACGAUCCGCACCGAACGGCAACGACACGGUUGCUAAAAAUCCUUCCAUAAUAUGCAUAUCUAAUUUUUUAAAAAGUGUAACCUCUGCAUUUAUAAAUAUACUCAAUGUAUAAUGUUUUACUUAAGAAAUGAAAAACUUGUUUGUUCAAGGAGAAUAAAGAAAAUUUUUCUAUGAUUUUUUUAUGGUUUGAACAAAGAAGGUUUUAAUGAGUAUUAUAGACCUCGAUUGAAUGUUCGAAUGUAUAAUAAAAGAGAAACUGUCACAUAAAUGACAAAGAUACUUGGAAAAAAAAAAAGGGCAGCAAUAGAGAAUUAGAUUCGACUGCACAAAUAACUAGUUAAUUCAUCAAUACAUCAUUUUCUUGCUAGAAAAUGACAAUUAUGACAGCAAGCCACGAUAGUGUCAAUAUUGAAAUUGAUUUGCAAUUAUUCAGCCAAUGUGCCUUACACGUCAAGAUAAAAGUCAAGAAAAUGAAAGUUAAUAUCAAUUAAAACACUUCCUGGGCCGCAUUUAGCUCCAGUUUUUGUGGUAGGAAAACAAAGUUUUGUUUUAAAUUCACAUGGUGUGCACUUCCUAUAUAAAUCUAGAGUUGUGUCCCACGUUGAACAAUAAAGGAAAGUCACCUAAAUAUACAUGUAGGAUAAGUUACUUUAUUUAGUAAGUUUGUAUUUUCUUCUUUCUUCUAGUUUACAUAUAAAUUUGAUUAGAUAACUUAACACAUAUUUUAAUACUUGAUCAGAAGCCCUACGUACAGGUGGAUCUAGAAACUUGAUUUCUAAGAGUAAUACUAUAAUAAAAAAAUAAUGAUUCAUAGAACCAAUAUCAAAAUUUGUUUACAAGAUUACCCCCACUCAAAGGUAAUUUUCAUAGAAAUUAAUAGGAAAUUUAAUUGUUAGUGGGGUCAAAUUGCCCCCACACUCUGAAUGUAGAUCCACGCCCGACCCUGAGUCAAGUAUAUUUUGCCACAUAUACUCUGAAUGUCGGCAGGAAAAAUCUUCCACUUUAGUUUAAAAUUUUCACUUAAAAUUUAUUUACGUUAAUAAAGUUGGUAAAGGAAAUGAGUUUAAUUAAAGAAUAUUAUAGGAGAAAUUCUAUUGUUUGGCUUUUAAUAAAUUAAUUAAUAGGUUUAAAAAGAUUAAUAUACAUCAAAAUAUUAUUAGUUGGUGGUGGUUCCACAUCGGACUAAGACGUGGCACCUUACUUGUGAGAUUAAGACAAUCAGGCUUAGACUAUUUAAAUAUGUUUGAAGCUUAGAUGGCACCGCUUCAAUUUGCAUUAAUGAAUGUCAUUCUUUACCCUAAUUACUACGUAAUUGAUAACAUGCAAUUGAAAUAACUAAUAUUAGCACUUGGCUAUAAAUGAACUAAAGGCCGUGCAAUUGAAUCUUUACUUGAUCACUUCAUUCCUUUAUUUUGCUAACACAGAUUUUGAGAUAUUAAAACGAAAUAAUAAUUGAAUCUGGCUUUGUGGGUCGAUGAUGCCAGCAACAACGAGACCACAAUUAUCACUUGUUUAUUUGCUGUAUUUGACGUUGUUUCAUAUUGGUAGUAAUAACUAAUAAGGUCGUUGUAGAGUUUUUAAUCUUUUUUUUUAUAUUAAUCACGAGGUAUCCUGGGGAGGGCCCCAACUGUGGGAGGCACCUUUAAGCUCGUACCACAACCCAGACUAGAAGUCCCCGCUCGAACCGGGAGGCACAGUUUUUAAUCUUUUUUAUAUUAAAGUUAAGUCAAUUUGUUAUAAAUAAAUAAAAAAUUGGUUGAGUUUAAUUAUAUUGCUAUGUACAUUAAAUAAUUAUAAUAUUCUCGAGGGAAAAAGACACCUAGAACCUCAAGGUUUGGGGAAAUGGUCACAAAAACUCCUAAGUUUUAAAAAAGGAACACUAAAAUCUUUUUUUACCCAUAAUACCCUUUGACUAUAGUAAUUAGAAAAUUGACUUUAAAGGUUUUUAAAUAAUACAAAUUUAAUAUAAAUCAUAUAAUCUAUCUAGUACACUAAUAAUAUUAAAUUAUUUUUUAUAUUUAAAAUAAUGUUAAAAAAUUUAAAUUAUUAUAUUUAUUUUAAUAAUAUAUUUAUAAAAUUAUAAAGAUUUUAAAUAAAUCUUUGGAUUGAAUAUAUUUUACAAUUAAAAGUCUUCCUAUUAAUAAUAUUAAAAUUAAAUUUUAAGUAAUAUAUAUUCAAAAUAUUUUUAAUUUAAUUUUAUUUAUUUUAAUAUUAUGUUUCUAUCUAUUAUUAAAAAUUACUUUAAUAUAAUAAAAUAGGUCUAAUAGAUUGAAAAAUAUGAAAAUAUUUUUAAAAUUUUAAAUUAUUUUGAAAUGUAUAUAUUAUUACAUUUAUUUCAAUGUCAUAUUUCCAUUUAUUAUAAAAUUUUGGGGUUAUUUUUUUGGGAAUUUAUAGAGUCAAAGAGCAUUAUGGUUAAAAAAGAGUCUUGGUGUCCCUUAUUGAAAACUUUAGAGUUUUUGUGACCAUUUUCCUAAAUCUUGGGGGUGUUGAAGUGGCACUUAUUGUAAGAUUGAUUUUAAAAUAUGUAAAAUUAAUUUUAUUACAUUACCAUAUGCUACAUCACCUGAAACUUAAUAAAUGGAACGUAGCAUUACUCCACGUUCACCGUUAUGACCUUAUGACAUUAGAAUUAAAAUCUUUCGUACGUUUAAAUUGUUUACUUCCAAAUUAAUCUUUCGUAAAUAUUUUGUACAGAUCUUAUCGGAGUUAGCGUGUUCAUUACAGUGUUUCUUUUCUUUUAUCCUUUCUUUUGAAACGUAUUUCCUGUGGACAAGGAAAGCAAAUAAUACCCUGCCACCAGGACCUCGCGGCUUGCCUGUAAUCGGAUACCUUCCAUUUCUCGGAAUUACUGACUUACACAAGACAUUCACGGAAUUAGCUGGUCUAUAUGGCCCGAUCUUCAAACUCUGGCUUGGCAACAAAUUGUGUGUAGUGGUUAGCUCGCCUUCAACUAGUUCUAUAAGAAUAUCCCUUUUAAGGGAUUCUCUCUCUGCAAAAUUUUUUUAUCUUCUGGUGCAUAAUAAAAACUUAUGCCACUUCAUUAACCACAGAUAUCUUUUGAGGAAACGAUGUUUCGUUUUCUUUUGUUUUUUCCUUCCUAAUCCUCGCAUAUCGUGUGAAGGCUAAUAUAUCCAAGAAUCUAAAUCUCUGUAAAUCUUUUUCUAUCCAAAUCUACAUAAUAAUUUAAUCCAUGCACAAUAUCUAUAAUUAUAUCGGCUGUCGGCUGAUUUCGUGGAGGGGGCGGCAGUUCAAAUUUUUUACGUGCAUGUUGGAUGGACGUCUCUAUUAAAGGAGAGCCACCACUUGCAUGGUAAUUUUUUUAAAUAAAUAUAUACAUUUCAAAAUAUUAUUUCAUUGUUGUAUAGUUAACAUGUCACCUUAGAUGUAUUUUAGAACUUCUCCUAUUAAAGAUAAUCUCAUGCAGUGAUACUUCUCGUGAUCUAAUCAUUAGUAGAAUCUAUAAUUUCGCUACUGUAAUAAAAUCUGUCCCUACCCUAUAUGAAUGUAGAUAUUUGACGCGAUUUGUAAUUGCUUCCGACAGGAAAACAGCAAUAGUUUAAUUGAAAUUUGUGGUAUGGAUUCCACGAAUCUUAUGACAGAAUACUGACCACUCCAACCCUAUCCACAUUUACACGAUUAAAACACAAGCUUAGAUGUGACAAUGCAUUUGUCACUUUUGUUCAAAUUCAUCCUGAAACACUAUACACUAAAUAAUCGAAUAUGGCUUCGUGGGUCGAUGAUGCUAGCAGCAACGAGACUGCAAUUAUCACUUGUUUUGUUGCUGUACUUGUCGUGGUCUAUUUCGCAUGGAAUGUAAACAAAUCAAGUAAAGCAAAUGCUAAAUUGCCACCAGGAUCUCGGGGCUUGCCAGUAGUCGGAUACCUCCCAUUUCUUGGAACUACUGACUUACACAAGACAUUCACGGAGUUAGCUGGAGUUUAUGGUCCGAUCUUCAAGAUUUGGCUUGGGAAUAAAUUGUGUGUAGUGGUGAGCUCGCCUACCCUAGUUAAACAAGUGGUCCGUGAUCAAGAUAUAACAUUCUCAAACCGCGACCCACCGAUCGCUGGAACUGUGACCACCUACGGUGGCAAUGAUAUUGCACUUUCCAAUUAUGGUCCCGAAUGGAAAAAGUUGCGAAAAUUAUUUGUGAGCAAGAUGAUGAGUAAUGCAACCCUUGAUGCUUGUUAUGCUCUAAGAAAACAAGAGGUUAAAAAUACUAUCAGGGAUUUGUACAACAACAAUAAGGAUAAUAUUGGCAGUGGCAAUGGCAAGCCCAUUGACGUUGGUGAAUUGUCGAUUUCAACUUUGGUACGUGUUAUGCAGAACAUGCUGUGGGGUCAAGCAUUGGAAACAAGAGAGAAAGAGAUUACUAAUCUCGGGGCUAAUCUUGCAGAACUCAUGGUGCUACUGGGAACACCAAAUAUUUCGGAUAUUUUUCCAGUGCUUUCAUUGCUUGACAUGCAAGGUAUAGAGAGAAGAGCUAAGAAGAUUUCUCUAUGGUUUGAAAACAUUAUCAAUUCUGGUGUUGAACAGUAUAGAAACAAGUUUUCUGUUGUUAAAGGUGAAGAAGCUGCAGCAGGAAAAAAUAUUGAACGAUCAAGAAAUAAGGACUUCUUGCAGUUACUGUUGGAGCUUCAGGAAAAUGAAGAUAGUGCUUCAUCUAUUAGCAUGAACCAACUAAAGGCCGUGCUCGUGGUAUGUUAAGCAACUAGACACAAAAAGUUGUAAAAGCACAGUGAUAUAUUUGCGCGAGGCCGCGAGUGAUGUUUUGCCUCGAGAACUCUCAAUUUUAUCUUACGGUAAAAAAUGUUUUUCAACUUUUUUUAAUUAGAAUUUUAUUGCAAUUUAUUUAACAGGACAUAAUUGUGGCCGGAACCGACACCACAACUACGAUGGUGGAAUGGACAAUGGCAGAGUUGAUGCAACAUCCACAAGUAAUGAAGAAAGUUCAAGAAGAAUUAGCUCAAGUUGUGGGCAUGGACAGUUGUGUUGAAGAAUAUCACUUGCCUAAAUUAAAUUAUUUAGAUGCUGUGGUGAAAGAAACAUUUCGUUUGCAUCCUGCGUUGCCCUUAUUGGUACCUCGCACGGCAAGCGAGAACAGCAAUAUUGGUGGCUAUACCAUUCCCAACGACACUAAUUUUAUGUUGAAUGUUUGGGCUAUUCACAGGGAUCCUCAACUUUGGGAUAAUCCCUUAGAUUUUCGACCUGAGAGGUUCUUGAAUGAUGAUAUCAUAAGCAAAUUCAAUUACUCGGGUAACAAUUUUCAGUACUUGCCAUUUGGUUCUGGUAGAAGGAUGUGCGCUGGCAUUCCUCUAGCUGAGAGGAUGUUGAUGCUUGUUCUGGCUUCGUUGUUGCACUUGUUUGAGUGGAAAUUGCCCCCGGGCACAAAGCUAGACUUAGCUGAAAAGUAUGGGAUUGUCAUGCGGAAAAAAGAGCCUCUGAUUGCUAUUCCAACACCAAGGCUACCAAAUUCAGAUCUCUACCAGUAAGAUCAAAAUGGUUGUGAUGAUAUUAUUUCCCAUUGUAUUGGAAUAUUUUUGUGUGAUUUGAAGUUCAAUCAUAAUAAAAUAUUUUAAUAAAAUGUCCUCGGUUGCUAAUUUUUCAAUAGUAUACUCUAUCAUCGUUUCUAACUGUCUUUUAGAGCCAUUUGGUCUAAUUUAUUUUUGAAUUAAAAUCCAUAAAUAUUUAAAUUUUUGAAUCAUAUUAAGAAUUAUCUGGAGUGUAUGGUCUGAUCUUCAAGUUCUGGCUUGUAAACAAAUUAGAGUUCUGAUAUUUGCCCCGGGUCAAACCCCGAAAUUAAAUAAAACGGCGUCGUUUUGUUUUUUUUUUUUUUUUUUUCUUUUUUACUUCUUCCAAACGUUGCCAUUUCACUUGUCAUUUGCAAGUGACUCCAUUGAUCCUUAGUUGAAACAGAGUUACACCGUAAAUCUCUUCCUCUUCGUUUCUUCGUUUCACCAGGGAACGAGACAGAUAAAAUCCAGCCAUUCUUCGACAUAACAAGAUAUCGAUUAGAAUCCAACGACAUAACUAUAAACCAUGACAUUGCGCUUGAUUUUGCGAAAUACCGAUUAAGAACCAGUAACUUUGAAUCCAAUGACCGUUAAGAGUUUGAAAUUGGUUUCAAAUGACUAAUGAGUUAUCAGAUUUCUUUGCGUCUACAUUUUCCUUGAAGGUUUCUCAGCAGCCAAACAAAUACAAAGCAAAUUGCAGAAGAAACACAUUUUGUUCCAAUGAAAAAUGUACGGAAACAUUUUAAAUAUGGAAAAUUACCUCAAAAUGAAGGCUCGCAAGAGAUUCGAGCAACAAAUUAGAUCAAAGGAACCGGCGCUGAGCAAGAAAGUGAGCUCAAAGAUUCCGAAACACAAACGUAAAUUCACAAAAAUGCAAAUCUAUGAUGAACGCCAAGAUCAAAAUUUUCGAAGAAAGGGAGCUGAAAAAAUAAAUGAAACGUCAAACUAGAUGACAAUGGAUUUGCUUCUUCAAAGGAGACAAUGAAAUUGUUACUAGAGACAGCUAGAGAAAUAGAGAGAGAGAGAGAGAGAGCUUGAAUUGGCUGUACCCCCACCAGAAAGUGGGUAGUGCCUUUUCCACUUGGACUUGAUAUGCGAAUCUGAAAAAAUCUGAACGAAGGACUGACUCAUCCCAGCUCGAAAGCAAACCAAGCUAGGACUGACUGAAAACGUUGCCGUUUGGAGAAGUUAAAAAAAAAAACUAAACAAAACGACGCCGUUUUGUUUAGUUUCGGGGUUUGACCCGGAAUUUGACCCGGGGCAAACAUCAUUUUCCAACAAAUUAUGCAUGGUCGUGUACACGCUUUCCCUAAUUAAGCAUGAGGUUCGUGAUCAAGGCACAACAUUCACUCCCUGCGACCCAACAAUCGCUACAUUGUUUGCCACCUAUAGUGCCAACGAUUUUGCACGGUCCAAUUAUGGUCCCCAAUCGAAAACGUUGCGCAAAUGUUUUCUGGGCAAGAUGAUAAGUAACGCAAGCCUUGAUGCUUGUUAUGGUCUAAGAAAACAAGAGGUUAAUAUAUAUAUAUAUAUAUAUAUAUAUAUAUAUAUAUAUAUAUAUAAAUUGGCAUUGUCAACUUUUGUAUGUUUUAUUCAGAACCCGCUGUGGGUUGACGCUAGCAUGCUUGCGUUAGGAGACGAGGGGACCAAUCUUGGGGCUGAGCUAAAAUAUAAGCUUGUAGAGAUCAUCUUGCUAAUGGUAAUGUUUUCCGAUGCUGGUUUAAUUCAUGGUAUAAAAAGGAGAACAAAAAAGAUUUUUCUAUGCUUUGAAAAUAUUAUAAUUUUUAUUUUAUAAUUUUUAAUAAAAUCUCUCAUUGAUAGCCAAACAAUUAAAAUUUUUGUAAAGCUUUUGUGGACUUUUGAUCGCGUAUGGUGCCAAUGUAUUGCGUGGUCCUAUUAUGGUUCCAAAUGGAGAAAGUUGCACAAGUUUUUUGAGUACCAGAAGAUCAGUAAUGUAAGCCUUGAUGGUUGUUAUGGUCUAAGAAAACAAGAGGCUAAAAAUUCUAUCUGGGAUUUUUAUAACAACAACAAAAUUGGCAAGCCCAUUGACAUUGGUGAAUUGUCAGUUUCAACCUUGGUAAGUGCGAUUCAGAACAUGCUGUGGGGUGAAACGCUUGAAAUAACAAAGAAAUGGAUUUACUAAUAUUGGGGCUGGGCUAAGAUUUAAGCUUGCAGAACUCACGGUGCUAGAGGGAACACCGAAUAUUUUGGAUAUCUUUCCAGUGCUUUCAUGGUUUAAUAUACAAGGUUUUCAGAGAAUAGCAAAGAAGAUUUCUCUAUGGUUUUAAAAUAUUAUCAAUUCUACUGCUGAACGCUAUAGAAACAACGUCUCUAUUGUCAAAAGUGAAGAAGCAGCAGCAGCAGGGAACAAUAUUGAAGGAAGGAAUAAGGACUUGGUGCAGUUACGCUUGGAGCUUCAAGGUAAAGAAGACAAUGCUUCAUCAAUUAGCAGGACGCAAUUUAAGAGCUUGCUCGUGGUAUGUUGCGCAACUAGCCACAGACAGUUACAGAAACUGAGUUUGGCAGAUUACGACCGUUUCUGGUGAUUACAUAAUUAUUUGUGGCUGUUUUUUUUUUUUAAUUGUAAUUUUCUUAACAGGAUAUAAUUUAGGGUGGAACCAACACCACAACUAUAAUGGUGGAAUGGACAAUGGCAUAAUUGAUACAGCAUCCACAAGUAAUAGAGAAUGUACAGGUAGAACUAAAUCGGGCCGUGGCCAUCGACAGCCAUGUUGAAGAAUUUCACCUAGCUAAGUUAAAAUAUUUAGAUGCUGUGGUGAAAGAAACAUUCUGCACUGUAAUAUAAUACAUGAAUCAUAUGUCCUCUAUUGUUUUUUUAUUUUUCUCUUUUUUUCAAUAGCUUAAUCUAUCAUUAAAAUCUUCUGAAAUUCUAAAUUAAUAUACAUUCAACCUAGAGUUCAAGCCAAAGUUUUAUUGAGCAUUAAAAAAAAAAAAAAUUCUACGACUCAAAAUUUUGUGGAGUAUAAAUUAAAAAUUAUGCGCCUACUAAGAGACAAAAAAUAAAUGAUACACAUUAACCAAUCAAAGGCGAACAAGAGAUUAUUAACAAUAACCUAAUAAUAAAAUUAUAAUGAAUAAAAAAGAAAUGGUACCUAGAAACACAUCACAGCCAUUUAAGCAAUCACUUACCCACAAAAUCCAAACAUAUAAACUAUGUGGGGGGGGGGGGGGGGGGGGGGGGUGUCAUGAUACCUUUGGGUUUCAUGAUAAUCAAAAUUGCAAUACCAUUAAAGACUCAAAAAUAAAAAAAAUCAUAGCCAAUAAAAGAGAAAAAAUAACCCACAAAAAAUCAUCAAGAAAAUAAAUUUGAGACUAAGAGAAGAUAUUAAUUAAACCCUGGGUUGCCUUGGAACCACGGCUUUGGCUUCCAUUUUUCAAUUCUUGGCGACAAGUCAUUUCUUGUUUGUUUACAAAGAUGACGGCUGAUUAAUGAAGCUCUAUUAACAAUGAAUAAAUAAAAAAACUGGCGCCUUGAAAAGACUAACGGUCAUAUUUUUCAACUCCGAAUUAGUGCCGUUUGAUGAGUCCUUGCCAAAACAAUCACUAGGCAAAUAACAAUCAUUUUUCAACCAGCAAAACUCAUUCAUUGUAUUUCACCUUAGUCAAGAUUUAAAAAUUGUUUCAAAAUAAACCUAGUGGUUAGAACCCAAGCGUCACAAUUGUGAGGUCAUGGGUUUGAGCCCCCACAACGUAUUGUGGGGGUUAAUUUUCUUCUUCAAUUUGAGUGAAAACAGUUCUCUCCCUUUCGAAAUGUGGGUGGAGUGGACGUCCCUCAAAUAUUAGAGAGGGUUCAAAUUUGGAUUGUACUAUAUAAGAUUUAUAAAUUAGUCCCAGUAAUUAUCUGAUUGUAAAUAUCAAUAUACUAAUCUAAUUAAAUAUGAGUUGUAAUAUGAGCGUUAGUCUCAUGUAAUUAAAAAAAAAAUGUUUCAAAAUAGGAUUCUUAAAAGGUUGGGGAAAUGGCCAUCAAUAUCCCCAACUUUCCAAAAAGAGACACCAAGACCCAUUUUGACCAUAAUACCCUUUACUUCUAUUAUCCCCAAAAAAUUGACUCUAAUGUUUUAUAAUAAAUAAAAAUAUAACAUUAAAAUAAAUGUAAUAGUAUAUACAUUUUAAAAUAGUUUCAAUAUCUAAAAACCAUUUUAAUAUUUUAAAUCCUAUUAUAUAUAUAUUAAAGUAAAUUUUAUAAUAAAUAGAAUCAUAAUAUUGAAAUAAAUGCAUUAAAAUUUAAAUUAUUUUUAAUAUUAUGUAAAAUAAUAAUUUUAUCAUUAUAAGUAUAUGAGAAUUUUUUUAAUUGUAGAAUGUAUUUAAUGCAAAUAUUUAUUUAAAAUCUCUACAAUAAAUAAAAAUAUACUAUUAAAACAAAUCUCUACAAUAUAUACAUACAUACAUAUACAUUGGCCUGGUAUUUUAUUUUUCAUUUUUUAAACUUAUUAAAUCCUCUAACUAUCAUUUGAUUAUUUUUUUCAAUGAUGAAGAGGCCAUUGCCGGAUAAAUUAUUAAAAUCAACUAGUUCUACAAGAAUGUCCCUUUUUAAAGGAAGAUGAUUCUCUCUCUCGAAAUUUUUUAUCUUGUGCUACAAACUAAAAACUUAUGCCAUUUCAUUAACCACAGAGAUCUUUGAGGAAAUGAUGCUUCGCCCCCCCCCCCCCCCCCCCCCCCCCCCCCCCCCCCCCGCGGCGCCAAAAAGUGUCCUUCCAUAUUUUGUGAAGGCUAAUACAUCGAUGAAUCUAGAUUUCUUUAAAUUUUUUGUUUUACUCAAUUCGAGAUAAUAAAUAGUUUAUCUUUAUUAAAUCUUUACUUUAACAAUGAUAGAUAUUCAAUCCAUGCAAAUAUCUAUCAUUGUAUGAGCUGAUUGCGUGGAGGGAGCGGUAAUUGAAAUCUAAUUGAAAACAGCAGAAGGCUGUUCUUGACAGAUCUCAAAUAUAUUACGGACACGUUGGGAGACAUCUCUAUCAUAGAUAUCCCCAUGCAGUGAUAUUUGUCGUGAUCUAAUUUUUAGUAAAUCUGUAAGAGAGAUUGUAACAUCUUUCAAGUUUUUUGGUUUGAUAUUCUAGACGAAAACGGUUUGUCGUUUCUUGAGCAAACGGCUAACCGUUUAAGUCCAGAGAGCAUGUUUGUUGUUCUGGAUAAAACGGCUCACCGUUGUUGCGAAAACGGCUAACCGUUUAACUCAAGAGAGCAUGUUUUAUGUUCUAGAGAAAACGGCUCACCGUUAUUGAGAAAACGGCUAACCGUUUAUUUACAGAGAGCAACGUAUUUGAUAUUCUGGAAUAAAAUGGCUCACCAUUUAUUGAGAAAACGGCUAACUGUUUAUUUCCAGAAAGGCGUCAAUUAGAAAAACGGUUAGCAAGAAUGAAAAUUUCAAUUGACAAUCGAUGCAAAUUCAAACCAAAAGAGUGUCUUCGAAAAAGUACCAUUUCUAAUGGUUGUAUUCUUUCAAAUAAACAUCUUCUUCAUUAAAGAAAUACACACAAUUAGAUUGAUAAUCAGAUUUUGACAGGUUUCUUAUAUGUUCUGGAAAUACAAUCUUAUUUGCUAGAGAUUGUAUUCAGGAUUUGUUAUAUCUUGGGGGUAAUUUGCCAUUAAAACUAUAUAGCAAACCAAGAUUGGUGAGGGCAAAUAAAACCUUAAAGGAAAGUAUGCAAACACGUCUCAAAUCCUAUGAAACUUUCUUUGUUCUUUGCCUCCAUAUUCUUAUUAUUCACUAACAAAAUCCCCAUGCAGUGAUAUUUGUCGUGAUCUAAUUAUUAGAAAAAUCUAUGAUUUCGCUACUGUAAUAAAAUUUGUCACUACUCUACAUUAAUCUAAAUGUCUGAUGAGAUUUGUAAUUGCUUCCGACGGGAAAACAGUUAAUAGGUUGAUUGAAUGUAUGUGGUAAAGAUUCCACGUAUCUCACGACAGAAUGCUGACCACUGGAACCCUAUCUACUUUUACGCGAUUAAUUCACGAGCUUAGGCACGACAAUUGCAAUACAAAUUAUCCCUUCAUCAUAUAUUUCGUUAAAAUUCAUUCUGAAGCACUAAAACUAAACAAUCGAAUAUGGCUUUGAGGGUCGAUGAUGCCAGCAGCAAUGAGAGUGCAAUUAUCACUUGUUUAGUUUCUGUGCUUGCCGUGGCUUAUUUAGCAUGGAAUGUGAAAAAAUCAAGGAAAGCAAAUGCUAAACUGCCACCAGGACCUCGCGGCUUGCCUGUAGUCGGAUACCUCCCAUUUCUCGGGACUACUGACUUGCACAAGAAAUUCACGGAAUUUAUUUUACUAUUAUAUUUAUAUUCAAAAUAAUUUUAAUUAGCUUUUAAAAUGAAUGAUUUUAGGAAAUUAUAAAUAAAGGUAACUAAGAAUUCUCUUAAUGUAAUAUAUUAUUAAUUAGUUUAAAAAUACAAAUUUAUUAAUUAGAGAAAUUAUUAGUGAAUUUAAAUUAAUGAUCUUAAUGAUUUGUUUGUACGAUUGCCCCCAAUCAAAGGUAAUUUUCCUAAAAAUUAUUAGGAAAUUAGAGAAAUUUAAUUUUUUUAGUGGGUUCAAUUGCCCACACACCCCGACUGAAGCAUUUUUUACAAUAUGUACUCCGUUUGUCGGCAGGAAAAUAAAGGUCUUGACACAUGAUCACUUCACUCCUUUAUUUACUUUGCUAACGCAGAUUUUGAGGUAUUAAAACAAAUAAUAAUUGAAUAUGACUUUGUGGGUCGACGACGCCAGCAACGAGGAGACCGCCAAUUAUCACAUUUUAAGUUUGCUGUAAUUGCCGUUGUUUUAUAUUAGUAGAAUAUUAGUGAUAAGAUAAUUGUAGAGUUUUCAUUUUUUUAAUAUUAAAAUCAAGUCAAUUUAUUAUAAUAAAUUUAGUUGAAUUUAAUCGUAUUACCACAUAAAUUGAAUAAUAAUAGAAUUCUCGACAAUAUUUCAAUAUUUUAAUCUCAAGCAUUGGAGUGGCAUUUAUUUGUUAUACGGUCGAUUUUAGAAUUUAUAAAAUUAUUCGUUGCUGAAUUGCACCAUAUGCUGCAUAACCUGAAACUUAAUAAACGGAACGUAGCGUUGGCACCGUUACUCAACAUUCACUGUUACGACUUUGUGACAUUAGAAUUAAAAUCUUUUCCACAUUUAAUUUGUUUACUUCCAACUUAAUAUUUAACAAAAUGUAUGUUAGCAUUGUAUGCCAUAUCAUCUGUAAUUUUGUCAGGAUCGAUCAUUCUAAUUUUUAAGCAGAACUUUUUGUCAAUGGACAAACACCUCAUACAGCUUGUCAGAGGCAUUAGUAUGAUGUAAAAUUGUAAUGGUAUAUCUUGAAUUAUUUUAGAAUAGUGAAUAACUAUUUGGAGCAAUAAAAACAAAUAAGACAGAUGAGAAAAUGGCUAAAAUUAUAUAAGUGACCCAAAAUUUUUUGCUAUUUCCAAGAAAUCCCCAAUCUGAAUGGACCAGAGGGAGGCAAGUUAGAAAUACAUUUCCUUCAUAGACAAUAACAACGAUGAGUGGAUGACAUCAAACCACGUUGGUAUCAAUAUUGAAAUAAAGGUGCAAUUAUUCAGCCAAUGAGCCUUAGUACACAUCAAGAUAUAUAAAAGUCAAGAAAAUGAAAAUUUAUCCCAAUUAAAACUCUUUCUGGCUGCAUUUAGCUGUUUCUGUUUAGGGAUGGCAAUUUAAUCCGGACCCAGCCCGACCCGGAUGAAUCCAGAAAAUUCGGGGUGGAUUCAACCCGUACCGGAGUGAAUAAAAUCUGAUAUUCAAAUUCAAUAUUUUCAACCCGGACGUUUCCGAGUCCGGAUCCGGAUUUGGGUAAACCCGCAUAUCCGGAACCCGGAUCCGGAUAACUAUUUUAAUAUUAAUUUUUAAAUCAUUUUAAAAUAAAAAAAAAUUAGAAAAAAUCAGCCCUAAUGCCCUUCCACAGCCACGGCAGCCAAACCAAACCCAGACAUUUCCUCUCUCUCUCUUUAGCCCUUCUUUUCAACAAAUCAUCAUCGUUGCUCAUCAUCGUUUCGUCGUGUUCAUCUUCAUCUUCAUCAUCAGCUGCCGUUUGUCCAGCUAUGUCACUAGUUUUGGCCGCCGUUUCCGUUUGUGCACCUUCGCAAAUCGGGAUCUCGAUUUGGCCGCCAACACUUCUACCCCCUGGUGUUUUGCUUUGUCCUCGACAACUUCUUUGUUGAUAAAUUGACGGGCACUUAUGAAUGCAUUUGUCUCUGUUUCUUCAUUUACACCUUCCCAGUUGUUUGUUCAUUUGCUUUUUGGAAGGAAAAAAAAAAAAAAUCAGCCACCAUUUAUCCUUCCCCUUUUCUUGACCUAACCCCACAAAGCCCAAUUUGUCAUCAUCAUUCAUUGGCAAAUUUGUUAUCAUCAUGGUUGAGACAUCAUGAUUAUCUUUGAUAAUUGAAUUUGUGUAAUAUGUUACCUUGGAUUUUAUUUCUAAGUAUUUGAUUUUGAAUUAUUUUCCAUUAUUGGUGUUAAUAGAUAGAAGAUUAGAAAGGAAUUCUUCACUGAAUAAAGAGAUGGGAAAUUGCAUCUUUUAGCAAUCAUCCGGGUUAUAAACCCGGAAUCCGGAAACCAGGAUUUUUCCGGGUUUAACCCAGUCCGGACCCGAAUGAAAAAUAUCCGGGUUUACAUCCGGGUCUGGUAUUAAAAUUUAUCGUCCGGAUCCGGAACAGGGAAGACAAAACCCGGACCCGAACCCACAUUUUGCCAUCCCUAUUUCCAUUUGAAGUUAACAACAACGUUUCUUUCGUUUUGUGGGCGACUUGACUGAGCCAGCUGGAUUCUAGUGCUAGUAUGUGAAAAUAGAAGGCUAAUGAUUUCACGUUCACUAGCCCACCUCCCCUCCUCUCGUUUCCUCUGAAUCAAUUUUCACGUGUGGUACCGAUUGAAAAUAUCUCUGACAUUUCGUGGACAUCUCUAUUGAAAAUAUCUCAGACAUUUCACUCAGGCAAACUUAUUAAUAUAAAAAAUCUAUGAUUUUUUCGUCUUAUACUGUAGAAAAAUUUGUCUAUACAUUAAUCUAGAUGUUUGAGGUGGUUUAUACAUCUGUGGUAUAGAUUUAUAGGUUGAUUGAUACGUCUGUGGUAUAGAUUUUAUGUAUUUCAUUAUCAAAUGCUGGCCUUUGGGACCCUAUCUACAUCUAUUUAUAAAACUAACGGGUGCCAGUUAUGCCAUUACAAAUUAUCCCCUCUUCAUACAUUUCCUUAAAAUUCUUCUGAAACACCAAAACUAAAUAAUCGAAUAUGGCUUUGCGGGUCGAUGAUGCCAGCAACAAUGAGGCUGCAAUUAUCACUUGUUUAGUUUCUAUGCUUGCCGUGGUUUAUUUCGUAUGGAAUGUGAACAAAUCAAGGAAAGCAAAUGCUAAACUGCCACCAGGACCUCGCGGUUUGCCUGUAGUCGGAUACCUCCCAUUUCUCGGAACUACUGACUUGCACAAGAAAUUCACGGAAUUAUCCGGAGUUUAUGGUCCGAUCUUCAAGCUCUGGCUCGGAAAUAAAUUAAGUGUCGUGGUGAGCUCACCUUCCCUAGUUAAACAAGUGGUUCGUGAUCAAGAUACAACAUUCGCAGACCGUGACCCGCCGAUCUCAGGACUAGUGACCUCCUUUGGUGGCAAUGAUAUUACAUGGUCCAAUUACGGUCCCGAAUGGAGAAAGUUGCGCAAAUUUUUUGUGGGCAAGAUGAUGAGUAACGCAAGCCUUGAUGCUUGUUAUGCUUUAAGAAAACAUGAGGUUAAAAAUACUAUCAGGGAUUUGUAUAACAACGGCAACAAAAUUGGUAAGCCCAUUGACAUUGGUGAAUUGUCGAUUUCAACAUUGGUAUGUGCUAUGCAGAACAUGCUGUGGGGUGAAGCGCUUGAAUUAAAAGAGAAAGGGACAACUAAUCUUGGGGUUGAGCUAAAAUUUAAGUUUGCAGAACUCAUGGUGCUACUGGGAACACCGAAUAUUUCGGAUAUCUUUCCAAUGCUUUCUUGGCUCGACAUACAAGGUAUAGAGAGGAGAGCAAAGAAGAUUUCACUCUGGUUUGAAAAAAUUAUAAAUUCUACUGUUGAAAAGUAUAGAAGCAAGGACUUUAAUGUUGAAGGUAAAGAAAGAGCAGGGGAAAAUUUUGAAGGAUCAAGGAACAAGAACUUCUUGCAGUUACUAUUGGAGCUUCAAGAAAAUGAAGACGGUUCUUCCUCAAUUAGCAUGAACCAAUUUAAGGCCGUACUCGUGGUAUGUUAAGAAACUAGCCGCAAACAGUUAUACAAGCACAGCUGUAUAUUUUGCAUGAGUGAUAUUUUCAACCUUUUUUUUUUAUAAUUAGAAUUUUAUUGUAACCUUUUGGACAGGAUAUAAUUACGGCUGGAACCGACACCACAACUACGAUGGUGGAAUGGACAAUGGCAGAGUUGAUGCAGCAUCCACAAAUAAUGAAGAAAGUUCAGGAAGAAUUAGCUCAAGUUGUGGGCAUGGACAGUUGUGUUGAAGAAUUUCAUUUGCCUAAAUUGAAAUAUUUAGAUGCUGUGGUGAAAGAAUCGUCUCGUCUGCAUCCUGCAGUGCCUUUAUUACUACCACGCAGAGCAAGCGAGAGUGGCAGCAUUGGUGGCUAUAACAUUCCCAAAGAUACAACUAUUAUGUUGAAUGUUUGGGCAAUCCACAGGGACCCUAAACUUUGGGAUAAUCCCUUAGAAUUUCGACCCGAGAGGUUUCUAGAUGAUGGUAUCGCGAGUAAGUUCGAUUACUCAGGUAACAAUUUUCAGUACUUGCCAUUUGGUUCUGGUAGAAGGAUGUGUGCUGGGAUUCCUCUAGCUGAGAGGAUGCUGAUGUUUGUUUUGGCUUCGUUAUUGCACUCAUUUGAGUGGGAAUUGCCAGCUGGCACAAAGCUAAACUUAUCUGAAAAAUUUGGGAUUGUCAUUAAGAAAAAAGAGCCUUUAGUUGCUAUUCCAACACCAAGACUAUCCAAUUCAGAGCUCUACCAUUAAGACAGAAUGGUUGUGAUGAUUUUGUUAAUUUCCGAAGAUUUGUAUGUUAUGUCAAGUUCAAUCGUAAUAAAAUAUUUCAAAUAAGAGUCCUCCGUUGCUUUUUUUUUUUUUUUCAACCGCAUAAUCUGUCGUCAUGCUUGUAUUUGGGGCUACUUUGGAAUAAUUAUGUUUGAAUUACAAUAUAUAAAUAUUACAUUUUAAAAUUUUAUGAGAUUCUAAAUUUAUACACGUUCAAUAACCCACUUCAUAUAUGUUUAACACAAUUUAUAUCAUACAUUGUAUACCCAUUUGUCAUAAAUUACGCUAUUUUAUAUCUCUAAAUAAUAUUACAUAUUGAUAUUAUAAAAUGUUGUUAACUCACGUGUGUAUAUAUAUAUAGCAAGUCACGUGCAUAUAUUAUUGGUUGUUAUAUGUUUGCUAGUUUGAUAGGAUUUCCUUUCCUUGUGAACUAGGGUAAUUCUUAUGUACAUAUAAAUAUUGAUCAAUAAGAGUGCAGAUGAUGACUGCAGUUUUGCAUCGUAGAAAUUCUUCGUAAAAUAUAUAUGUUUAUCAAAAGGCUAUACCAUUCAAUAUAUAUUGGAAAGAGAACAAAGAAGAUCUUCUUAUGGUUUGAAAAUAUUAUGAAUUCUGCUGUUGAACAGUAUGGAAACAAGGUCUGUUGUUAAAGGUGAAGAAGUCACAGGGAACAAUAUUGAAGGAAGAAAUUUCACGUUUAGUUGCUGAAUUUGCCGCUGUAUUCUAUCGGUAGUAAAAAGAUUAGAGUUUUUAUUUUUCUCUAUUAAUGUUAAGUCAAUUUUCUAUAACAAAUUCGGUUGAGUUUAAUUGUGUUACAAUAUAAAUUGAAUGAUAGUAGAAUUUUCAACGAAUAAUUCAAUAUUUCUAUCUCGAUUGUUGAAGUGCCAUUUAUUUGUUAUACGAUCGAUUUUAAAAUUUAUAAAAUUAUUUGUUACUAAAUUGCAUCAUAUGCUAAAUCACCUGAAACCUAAUUUCAUAACUAACCCUUUAUUUUUAGUUCUCAAGAAAUCUUGUAAGAACAAAAUUCUUUUGUAACAAAACGUUUACAACAAAUUAAUUUGUAACUCAUUCCUGUGCGAGAAUCACUCUCAAUUUCCUUCAAUUGCUGUUUAACAAUCAUCUGCUUAUCAAAAUUCAAGCAUAAUCUUUUUUUUUAAUUUCUUCAUCAUUCUUUUGAAAAAAAAAAUCAGGAUAUGCUGUUAAAUUUUGAAAUAAAUUAUCUCAAAAUAAUUACUAACCAGAAAAAACAAAGGGGUUUAACUAGGUUAUGCAUACCUUUGAAAAUUAUAUGUUGAUCGAUAAGAAUGAUGAUCACGAUUGACGAGUUUAAUUAAAAUAUAUAAGAUUUUAAAAUUAAUCAGGGUUAAAUUGUGAAUUUUAGAAAGAGAGGUUUUGUGAGAAUGUUGAAAGGGUGUUAAUAGUUCCACUCUUUUUAAAAACAACCAUAGUCAUCAUUUUUCCAUGGUUGUUUUUAAAAAGAGUAUUUCUUCUUCCCAUCUCCAUCUUAUUUAGAAAUUUCCCAGAGCCUUUGUUUCCCACCUUUCAUUUUUCUUCUUUCUAAUUUAAUAAUCCACCCUUCUUGUAUUCAAACUAAAAAAUUAAAAUCUGAAAAUUUAAAACCCAAUAUUAUAGUAUUAUAAAAAUAAUUACUCACAUUUUAUCAAACACCUCCAUUCUUCCAAGGCCUUGUUUUAGUAGUAGGCUUUUAUUAUCUCAAUAAAAUUGAAAAAAAAAAUCUCAAUAAUAUUGGAAAAAAACCCUACCCAUAUUUGUAACUUUAAUUUAUUAUUCUCCAUAGACCUACUUUUUAGUUUUGAAUUUUGUUGGAGCCAUAUAUAAACAGAAUAUGUUGAAAUCAGCACCCAAAAAAAAAAAAACUAAUUAUAUAAUUUAUGUUCCCAAGGACAUGGCUGAGUGAUUUUCAAGAAGUUUUGUUUGGCUGGCCACUUAGGUUUAAAUCUUGGUGGAGAUUAAGGGUUAAGAAAUAAAUUUAGACUUUGCACACCCCUUUAACUUUUAAAAAGAAAUGAAAAAAUUAAUUAAUUAAUCUUUAUUUUAUUUAUUAAAUGUCAUAAUCCUAUGCGUAUUUUAUUUGUUAUCUUUCUAUUUAAAAGACGAGGGCAGAUAAAACUGAAAUAAAUUUUUAGCCCUAUCUCCAUAUUUCAAGUUCCAUAGUUAGGUGACCAGCUAAAAAAAAUUAAUUGAAAGCUACUCCAUCAAAUUAAAAAAAUUUAUUUAUUUAAUUUGUGGAGAUGUAGAAAAUCAAACCCCAUACCUUUUCGCAUACACUGAACAUAUUUUAAUACAUGACUAUCAUCCUUUAUCCUAAAUACUACUAUAACUAAUAACAUACAAUUGAAAUAAUUAAUGUUAACACUUGGCUAUAAAUAAAGGUUUUGUGCUUGAAUCUUCACGCAUGACCUUCAUUCCUUUAUUGACUUUGCUAACACAGAUUUUGAGGCAUUAAAACUAAAUAAUAAUUGACUUUGUGGGCCGAGGAUGCCAGCAACAAGGAGACCACAAUUAUCACUUAAGUUACUCUAAUUGCCGUUGUCUUAUAUUCAUAGAAUAUUAGUAAUAAGAUUAUUGCAGAAUUUUUUUAAUAUUAAAAUUAAGUCAAUUUGUUAUAACAAAUUUAGUUGAGUUUAAUCGUGUUACUACAUAAAUUGAAUAAUAAUAGAAUUCUCGACAAAUAUUUCAAUAUUUUUAUCCCAAGCGUUGGAGUGGCAUUUAUUUGUUAUACGAUCGAUUUUAGAACUUAUAAAAUUAUUCGUUACUGAAUUGCACCAUAUGCUGCAUGACCUGAAACUUAAUAAACGGAAUGUAGCGUUGGCACCGUUACUCAACAUACUGUUACGACUUUGUGACAUUAGAAUUAAAAUCUUUUGCACAUUUAAUUUGUUUACUUCAAAAUUAAUAUUUAACAAAAUAUUUUUUUCACAUUAUCAAUGGACAAAACUCCAACGAAAAUAACUACACAAGAAAAAUGUAUGCUAGUAUUGUGUGCCAUAUCAUCUGUAAUUUUGUCAGGAUCGAACACUCUAAUUUUUAAGCAGAACUUUUUAUCAAUGGACAAACACCUCACACAGCUUGUCAGAGGCAUUAUUAUGAUAGAAAACUGUAAUGGUAUAUCUUGAAUUAUUGGUAGAAUAGUUCUUUGGAGCAAUAAAAAUAGAUAAGACAGAUGAGAAAAUUGUCAAUACCCCACCGCAAAAGCAAAAGAAAAAAAGGAAAGGAGACAAAAGAGGAAGAAGAAAAAAAGGAAAGGAGACAAAAGAGGAAGAAGAAAAAGAAAAAAGAACGAAGAAAAAAAUGGUGCCGCGCUGUAUUGGGAAGAAGAAAAAAAUUAAUAAAAUAAUAAUAAAUAAUAAAUAAUAAAUAAUAAAAUAAUAGUGCACAACAAUCAUUUGAUUGCUAUAAAUAAAGGGGCAUUUUCCUCAUUUUAUUCAUCGAAUUCUUCAGUUCCUUUCAAGCGAUUUAAGAGUCUAGUGAUUUGAGAGUUUGGGAGUAUUGUGAUUUUGAGUACUAAGUUAAAAUACUAUAAUACUUGUAACUCAUUUUCACUAGUAAAAUAUUUUUCUUCUGUCUUCGCCCGUAGACGUAGGCUAAAAGCUGAACCACGUAAUUUCUGGUGUCCCUAUGUGAUUAUGUGUCUCAUUAUUUCUCAAUUUUACUUUAGUUACGUGUCUGCUACACCCUUCAAUUUACUAACAAAAAUGGCCAAAAUUAUAUAAGUGACCCAAAUUUUUUUGCUAUUUCCAAGAAAUCCCCAAUCGGAAUAGACCAAACUAGAGGGAGGCAAGUUAGAAAUACGUUUCCUUCAUAAACAAUAACAGCGAUGAGUCGAUGACAUCGAGCCACGUCGGUAUCAAUAUUGAAUUAAAGGUGCAAUUAUUCAGCCAAUGAGCCUUACACAUCAAGAUAAAAGUCAAGAAAAUGAAAAAUUUAUCCUAAUUAAAACACUUUCUGGCUGCAUUUAGCUGUUUCUAUUUGAAGUUAAAAACAACAUUUCUUUCGUUUUGUGGGCAACUCGACUGAGUUCGCUGGCUUCUAGUGCUAGUAUGUGAAAAUAGAAGGCUAAUGAUUUAUUUGUUAUCUUUUGACAAAAAAUGUUAAAGAUAUAAUAGAUUUUCCAUGAUACAAAUGAAAAAUUAUAUCAACAUAACUUCCAAGCUACAGCAGCUAGUGUUUACCAAACACUUUGCUGUAGCUUUUAAGCUACAGCUGCCCAACCUCAAUAGGUUGAUUGAAUUUGUGGGAUAUAGAUUCCACAUAUCUCAUGACCUAUUAAUUAUACAAGUGGUUCUUGAUCAAGAACAACAUUUGCUUCCGACCCAGUAACCCAGCAACUGCUGCACUGGUCGCCACCUAUGGUGCCGACGAUAUUGCAUGGUCCAAUUAUGGCCUUGAAUGGAAAAAGUUGAGCAAAUUAUUUGUGGGCACGAUGAUAAGUAACGCAAGCCUUGAUGCUAGUUAUGGUCGAAGAAAACAAGAGGUUAAGAAUACUAUCAGAGAUAUGCAUAACAACAAAAAGGAAAAAAAAAAAAAAAGGCAUUGGCAAGUCAAUUGAUAUUGCUGAAUUGUCGAUUUCAACUUUGGCAUGUGUAAUUCAGACAUUGCGCGUUGUGGUAUGGCGCUGGCACGCUUGCAUUGCCGAGAGGACAAAUCUUGGGGCUGGGCUAAAAUUUAGGCUUGUAGAACUCAUGGUGCUAAUGGGAACGCCAAAUUUUUUUAACAUAUUUCGGUGCUUUCAUGGUUUAAUUCAAGGUAUAGAAAGGAGUGUUGAGAAUGUCAAAUAAAACGACAUUGAAUGGAAGUUGUCAAAGACAUGAUCCGCACUGAACGGCAAUGACACGGUUGGUAAAGAUUUUUUCAUAAUAUGCGUAUCUAAUUUUUGAAAAAUUGUAACCUCUGCUUCUAUAAAUAUGCUCAAUGUAUAAUGUUUUACUUAAGAAAUGAAAAACUUAAUUCUUUAUGGUAUCAGAGCGAGGCUCGUUGCUCUGUUUGUAACAAAAACAAAGAAAACUAAAUUCUUCCCACAACUAUUUUUCCACCUUUUUUUCUUCCUUAAAAGCAUUCCUAGCAUUACAGAAACCCAUGCCAAUAAAAGAACAAGCCACACAUAUGUAAAAACUUUAGUUUACAAAUCUAUCAACAUCCCCAUAAAUUUUCCCAAAAAGUGAUCUUCAAAAACCAAAAAUACCAUCAAUUUUCGCAUCUUCUAGUAAACAAACUAUAAAAGUUUCGCACUCAAACAGAGCCACACGCGCCUCCACGCGCUUCCCGGAAUCACGGCCAACCACCACGCGCCUCUGUCACCACCAACUCACCCUCAUGCGCUCCAGAUGUUGCAGAAGACGCAAAACGACGUGUCGUUUUCUUCUCUAAAAGUGCAGCAACGUGGAAAUGACUUUUUGUUUUUGCCUUAAAUUGUUUUUCCUCGUUUGAAGCUAUACAACAUUUUUCUUUCUAAACCUGUUUUUUACAAUAAAAAAAGAAAAAAAUGGAGAAAACUCCAACUGAAUCUACUCAUGUUGUCAUUCAAUCUGUUCAACCUGAUGGAGUAUUUAAUGCCGAAAUUAUCCUUACUAAGACAAACUACGAUAUUUGAUCUCAAAUAAUGGAGAUGCAUCUCGCAGAAAGAAAAAAACUCCCAUAUAUUCGUAGCAGCAUAAAUCCAUCUGACAAAUUUUCAAAGAAAUAUGAGAAAUGGUAUAGUGAGAACCAAAAAGUAAAAAGAUGGUUACUCAUAACCAUGUGUCCUGAGAUCAUGAAGCGAUAGUUACAAAUUCCUACAGCCUACGAAAUUUAGAAUGCAUUAUCAAAAGCCUUUUAUAAUGGAAGCGAUGAAAUACAAGUUUUCACUCUAAAUCAGAAGGCGUUCUCUACGAAGCAAAAUGGACAACCACUCUCUAAAUUCUACGGAGAAUUGAUCAAAAUGUUUCAAGAACUUAAUCACCGAGAUAAAGUGGUCAUGAAGGAUCCAGAAGAUGUUAUAAUAUAUAGGAAGUUUGUUGGAAGAUUGAGAGUGCACAUUUUUCUUGCUGGACUAGAUGAAGAAUUUGACCAAGUUUGUGGAGAAAUUCUACGAAAAGAUACUAUCCUAGACUUAAAAGAAUGUUAUUCUCUAAUCCGAAAAGAAGAUGUACGGCAAAGCAAACUAACAAGAAGGUGGACGACUCAGAAACGUCUGCUAUGAUACCACAAGAGAACAAUGUUUUGAAAUUGUUCGAUAUCCUGACUGGUGGGAUACUCGAAGUAAUAACACAAAGCAGAGAUAAAAAACUGCAGUAGCUGAAUCCACAUCCACUACAGAUCUUAGAAAAGAAUCUUCAGCGCAAAUUGCAACCUCUGUCAAUUCAGGUAAGGUCAUUAAAACUCUUACAUUUGUUAUUAAUAGUAUAUGGAUAAUUGAUUAUGGUGCAACUGAUCAUAUGACUUUUGAUUCUUGACAAGUUUCUUAAUUGAAACCAUCUUCACAUAAACAUGUUUCUACUGUAAAUAGAACCACAACCUCAGUUAUUGGGGAAGGAUCUUUACAACUCACAAUUAAAUCAAAUUUAGACUUUGUGUUAAUUGUUCCAUCUUUAAAUUAUAAUCUUUUAUAUGUGUCUCAAAUAACCUCUUACUUAUCAUGUGUUGUAAUGUUUUGGCCCGAUCAUUGCAUGUUUAAGGACAUCCAAAUGAAGGAAACGAUUGGUUAUGAUAUUAAAUAAGGCAACUUGUAUUACCUGGAGAUGACAUCAACAAACACUGAAAAGCUAAGCCCCGCAUUAGUAGCAGACAAUUCCAUGAAAAAAAAGGAAAUAAGAAAUUUGGUUAUGGCAUAGACGAUUAGGGCAUGUGUCAUUUGAUUUCUUAAAAAAAUUGUUUCCUAGUUUGUUUCUGAAAUUUGAUAUUUGUAACUUUAAAUAUGAUGUUUGUGAACUUUCAAAUAGCCAUCGAACUACUUUUCCAUUGUCCUUAAAUAAGAAUCCAAUUCCUUUAAUGGUAGUACAUUCUGAUGUAUAGAGACCAUCUAAAGUUUCUACCAUUGGAAGAGCUCGUUGGUUUGUUACAUUUAUUGAUGAUUGUAGCAGAAUGACAUGGAUUUUUUUAUGAAAUUAAAAUCAUAUGAUGGUGACAACUCUAUUUCAGACACAAAUUUGAGUUCUACAUACUGAUAAUGGAGGCGAGUAUAUGAGCACAACAAUUCAACAGUUUUUGAAAUCACAAUGAACUCACCACCAAACCACUUGUGUGGGGACACUCCAACAAAAUGGCGUUGCUAAACAAAAAAAUAGACAUUUACUAGAAGUUGUUCAAGCAUCACUAAUUUAGGCCCGCAUGCCACUAUUUUAUUGGGGAGAAGCAUUGGCAUCCGUAGCAUACUUGAUCAAUCGGACACCUUCAAUCUUCCUUGGAUUCCAAACUUAUUUUCUAGUUCUAAAUGAAGAAUUAUGUCAUCAAAUGUGUCGAAUUUACCCCCACAUAUGUUUGGUUGUGUUGCCUUCGUUCAUUUGCCAUGACAAGAUAAAUUAUCUCCUCGAGCACUACGUUGUGUGUUUGUAGGGUAUGCCUUACAUCAAAAGGGGUACCGAUGCUAUCAUCCUCUAUUAAGAAAAAAUAUACAUCACCAUGGACAUAAUCUUUCAUGAAGAUAUCAUGUAGUACCCAUCGGAGCUUGAAUUUCAGAGGGAGUAUAAUGAAGAGGAAAUUCAUACUCUUACAUAUCUUUCACCUGAAGAAGAUCAAUCCUCCAUUGAGGUAGUAAACGUUCAAGAUACUGGAAAAGAAAACGACAAUGAUUCUCAGGCUGAGACAAGUGAAGACACAUUUAGGGAGCAAAAUAACUCAGACAUAACCACAAUCGAGAACGAGUCCAUGAAGAGCCACAUGAAGAAAUAUCUAACCAAUCAUCUGCAGAGGAUGAUCCUACCACAAAUCCCAGUCUAAUCAGAAGAAUACUUCCCCAGCAUCAAAAUAGAGGUAUCUCUAAACCCACAUAUAAGACUGACCUCUCUAGUAGAGUCAAAUACCCUAUGAGUCAUUUUGUAUCUAACCAUGGCUUAUCAAAAUCAAAUCAGUCAUUUGUGAAUCAAUUAUCUACUGUGUCUAUUCCUAACAGUGUGCAAUAAGCCUUAAAAUAUCGAAAGUGGAAAGGGCUAUGAAUGACGAAAUGAGAUCUCUUUAAAAAAAAUCAAACAUGGGAACUAAUUGAUCUUCCACCAGGAAAGAAACCAGUGGGUUGCCGAUGGAACUAGUUGAUCAUCCACCUCCAUUCUGACAAGCAAUGUUUAUCAGCAAUAACAAAUGACUGAAGCAUUUUAAUGAGGUUAGUAACGAAAAAGAGUUUAAUUAGAGAAUAUUAUAAGAGAAAUUCUAAUUUUUGAUUUUUAAUAAAUUAAAAUAUCUUAAAAUAUUAUUAGUUGGUGGUGGUUUCAUGUCAGAUUAAGACGUGACACCUUACUAAUGAGGUCGAGACAAUUAGCUUAAAUUAUUUCAAUGCAUUUGAAAUUUCCACUAAUGACUAUAAUUCUUUGUCCUAAUUACUAUGAUAAUUAAUAACAUACAAUUGAAAUAGUUAAUAUUAGCACUUGGCAAUAAAUAAUUAAAUUUCAUUAACACUAAAUAAUAAUUGAAUAUGGCUUUGUACAUCGAUGACGCCAGCAACAAGGGGACCGCGAUUAUCACUCUUUAAGUUGCUUUUAAAAUUGAUUUUAGUAGUGAUAUGAUUAUUGUAGUGUUUUUAUUUUUUAUAUUAAAAUUAAGUGAUUUGUUAUAAUAAACUUAGUUGAGUUUAAUGGUAUUACUACAUAAAUUGAAUAGUUAUCAAAUAUUUUAAUAUUUUUAUGGCAAGCGUUGACGUGGCAUUUAUUUGUUGUAUGAUGGAUUUUAAAAUUUAUAAAAUUAUUUGUUAUUAAAUUACCCCCAGAUGCUACAUCACCUGAAACUUAAUAAAGGUAUGAAGACAUGUGUGUGUGGACUGAAAUGAAGAAUAUGGAAAAGUUGAGAGCUGUUGUGCAGAUUGAGUUCAGUUGAUGGGGUCUAUUAGAUAUUGUCUGCUGACGUGGCAUGAAUUCGUUAUAAUCUGUUAUAACGAGUUCAGUAUAUCAGUAUACAAUAGAGCUGAUGGAUGGUGCCUGUUUUAGAGUCUUUUUUAUAUUCAUUUGUUCAUCAUUUUGCGCAAGAUCUGUUCCAUUGUGAUAUGUGUAAAGUCUUAUGUAAACCCACUUAUGAUUGGAUUAGUUCUUGAUUAAUAACAACGAGUAAAUUUUCCUUCAAGUGUGCUGGUCUGUGCCCCUGUUUUUUGUUCUGAUAUUGUUUCUUUGUUCUGGCAUUUCAUUUCGAUUGUGUUCUUGGUGUUUCUACUCAUCAAGAUUUAUGAGUCUUGUUGAGAUUAAAGACUUAAUAGUCUUAACAAGUGGUAUCAGAGCCUGGUGAAUCUCAGCCAUGUCUCUUUCGAAGCAUGAAAUUGAAAAAUUCACCAUUGGUGGUGAUUUCUCGCUUUCGAAAUUAAAAAUGAGGGCUCUCCUUGUGCAUUAGAGGCUUGAAUUUGCUCUGGAAAAAGAUAAUCUAGAGGCUGCUACAAGUUAUGUGACUGAUGAUAAGAAGAGACAAAUCCAAAACCGAGCUCGUAGCACUCUAGUUUUGAGUCUUGGUGACUCAAUCUUGAGAAAGAUUUCUGAAGAGAAGACAACCUUAGGGAUUUGGAACAAGGUAGAAGCUUUGUGUACAAAGAAGUCGCUAGCUCACAGACUAUUCUUGAAGAAAAAGUUAUACACAUUCUCGAUGAGAGAAGGAGUCACAAUUCAAGAUCACAUUGAUACCUUCAACAAGAUCAUUCUUGAUCUUGAAGGGGUGGAAAAUGUGACAAUAAGUGAUGAAGAUAAAGCCUUCUUCUUGUUGAGUUCCUUACCAAAGUCUUAUGAAGGCUUUGUAGAUACAAUGCUUUAUGGCAGAACAACAUUGACUCUUGAAGAUGUUAAAGCAUCUCUAAGUUCAAAAGAGAUUCAGAAGAACAAUGAGAUUGAAACAAAUAAUGGUGAUGGGCUGAUUGCCAGAUCAGAAAAGAAGAAAGAUCAGAAGAAUAAAAAUCAGGGAAAAUGACAUGGAAAGAAUUAAGAAAAUGCAGACAAGAAGAAAAAGAAGAGAAAAUGCUUCUACUGCCGGAAGGAAGGGCAUUACAUCAGGGAUUGUCUUAAAAAGAAAAAAAAAGAAAGUCAAGAGAAGUCAGGGGAUGCAGCUGUAGCCUCUGAUGAUGCCUCUGAUGGAUAUCACAUUGCUGAUUUACUUGUGGCCUCAAAUAGCAAUACUAAAGGUCAGUGGGUCAUAGACUCUGAGUGCUCUUUUCACUUGUGGCCUGAUAAAACCAUAUUUUACAAAUAUGAAGUUGUUGAUGGUGGUAGAGUCUUAAUGGGAAAUAAUAAUGUGUGUAAUCUUGUUGGUAUUGGUUCUGUGAAGAUCAAGAUGUUUGAUGGAACUGUAAGAGCUCUACAUGAGGUGAGGCAUGCUCCUAGGCUAAAGAGAAAUCUAAUCUCUUUAGGCAUGCUAGACAGCUUAGGGUAUUUCUUUAAAUCAGAAAGUGGUGGUUUAGAGAUAAGAAAGGGGACUGAGAUAGUGAUGAAGGGGGUUAAAGAAAAUGGCUUAUAUGUAUUGUAAGGCUCAUCAGUGCUUCUUCAAAAGGGAAUUUCUGCUCUUUUUGAGGAAGAUAUAACCAAGUUAUGACAUCUUAGACUUGGUCAUAUGAGUGUCAAAGGGAUGUAAGAGCUCAGCAAACAAGGGCUACUUGGUGGGGAUAGAAUCCAGCAACUGGAAUUAUGUGAAAAUUGCAUUUUUGGCAAAGCUCACAGGUCCAAGUUUCACAAGGGGGAGCAUAUGUCUAAGCAAGUUUUGGACUAUGCACAUGCUGACCUUUGGGGGCCUGCUCAAGUCCCAUCCUUGAGUGGUGGCAGGUAUUUCAUAUCACUAAUUGAUGAUUACUCAAGGAAGAUGUGGGUCUACAUACUCAAGACCAAAGAUCAAGCCUAGGAAAAAAUUCAAGGUAUAGAAAUCUUUGGUAGAAAAUCAAUUUGGAUUCAAGCUCAAAUGCUUGAGAACUGAUAAUGGUUUGGAAUUUUGUAGCAAAGAAUUUGAGGAAUAUUACAAAAAAACAUGGCAUAAAAAGGCACAAAACAGUCAGGUUCACCCCCCAGCAGAAUGGCUUGGCUGAAAGGAUGAACAUGACCUUGGUAGAUAAGACCAGAUGUAUGUUGAUAAAUUCAAAGCUUCCAAGAAGCUUUUGGGCAGAAGCUGUCAAUACAACAAGUUGUUUGGUUAACAGAAGCCCAUAUUCUGCAAUUGGCUUCAAAACACCAGAAGAAUUGUGGAAGGAAAAACCUGUAAAUUACCAAAAUCUCAGUGUUUUUGGAUGCCCUGCUUAUCUCCACAUCAAUCAAGGCAAGCUGGAAGCUAGGGCCUUGAAAGGAGUCUUUGUUGGAUAUCCUGAUGGGGUUAAGGGAUACAUAAUCUGGUGUAGAGAGUAAGGGAAGUGUAUAGUCAGCAGGGAUGUUGUGUUUCAUGAAUUUGGAUUGCUAAAAGAAAAUGCAGAGAAUGAUACUAGACUACAAAAUGAUUCAAUAAUUAUCAAACAAUCUGGAACUUCCAAGGUUAAGGUGGAGCUGUUUGGAAAUAAAGACAGUAGAAAAGAGGUAGCUGAUUAUGAAGAGAGGACCACAGCUAAAGUUGAGGAACAUGAGUCAUCAGAGUUGCCACAAGCUGACUUGCAGACUUAUCAGUUAGCAAGAGAUAGAGUUAGAAGAGAAGUCAAAGCACUAGUGAGGUAUGGCUAUGCUGACUUAAUUACUUAUGCAUUGUUGUGUGCUGAUGAUGUGGCAAUUGAAGAGCCUGCUAACUUCUCUGAAGUUAUUGAAAGUGUGCAUUGUGAUAAGUGGCUUGAGGCAAUGCAAGAUGAAAUGGGAUCCCUUCAAAGAAAUCAGACCUGGACACUUGUUCCAAAUCUAGGUAAUAAAAAGUUGAUCAGUUGUAAGUGGAUCUUCAAGAAGAAUGAAGGAAUUCCAGAUGUUGAACCUCCCAAAUAUAAAGCAAGGCUAGUGGCUAGGGGGUUUACACAGAGAAAGAGUGUAGAUUUCAAUGAAAAAUUUUCCCCUGUUCUUAAGCACAUUUCAAUAAGAAUUUUAUUAGUCAUGGUAGCCUUACUUGACUUGGAGCUUGAGCAAAUGGAUGUAAAAACAGCAUUCCUUCAUGGUAAUCUUGAAGAACAGAUAUUGAUGGCACAACCUAAAUGUUUUGAGUGCAAAGGAAAUGAGGAUUAUGUUUGUUUGCUGCAUAAGUCCUUGUAUGGACUCAAGCAAUCCCCACGACAGUGGUACAUAAGAUUUGAUGAUUUUAUGGUCUCAAAAGGCUAUCACAUAAGCAAAUAUGACAGUUGUGUUUACUUUGGUGGAUCAUAUCAAGGUGGAGUUGCUUAUUUGCUUCUGUAUGUUGAAGAUAUGUUAAUUGCAAGAAAAUAUAAGUUGGAGAUAGAGAGGUUGAAGAAAUGAAGGAUCUCGGCAAUGCCAAAAGAAUCCUUGGGAUGAACAUUACAAGGGGCAGAUCUGCUGACACUUUGUUCUUGAGUCAUGAGAAAUAUAUCAAGAAGGUUCUGGAGAGGUUUGAGAUGCAAGACUAUAAACCUGUCCAAACACCACUUGGUCCCCAAUUCAAGUUGACAGCAGCUCAAUCAUCAGAAGAUGAGUCUCAGGUGAGUGAAUUCCCAUAUGCACAGGUUGUAGGGAGCCUGAUGUAUGUAAUGGUAUGCACCAGGUCAGAUAUAGCUUAUGCAGUAAGUGUUGUCAGCAAAUUUCUCAGUUGUCUAGGCAAGGUUCACUGGAAUGUUGUAAAAUGGAUAAUGAGAUAUCUUAAGGGCUCUUUUACUUGUGGUUUGCUGUAUGGGAAGACUAAGAGUGACAUAAGUGAAGUCCUGGGGUUUGUAGACUCUGACUUUGCUGGAGAUCUUGAUAGAAUGAAGUCAACCUCAGGGUAUAUGUUUGUGUUAAACAGUUGCCUGAUUAGCUGGAAGUCAUCACUUCAGUCUGUGGUUGCUUUAUCCUCAACUGAAGCUGAGUUUGUUGCAACUACAGAGGCAGUAAAAGAGGCCAUGUGGCUAAGAGGUUUGCUUAAUGAGUUAUGGUUAAAUCAGAAAAUUGUUCAGGUUUUCUGUGAUAACCAAAGUGUCAUACACCUGGUAAAGAAUCAGAUGUAUCAUGAAAGAACCAAGCACAUUGAUGUGAAGCUCCAGUUUAUCAGAGAUGAGGUUGGAAAAGGAACUAUAAUUGUGUCCAAGAUCUAUACCAGUGUGAAUCCAACUGAUGUUAUUACAAAAGCACUUCCCACUGCAAAAUUUGAAUUCUAUGUGAAUCUAAUGGGCAUCUCGCCCAAACCUAACUAAAUUCAAUAGUGAAUUGUAGUUGAAUGAAGGUUUUUUAGGUGCUGUGUUAUUGAAAGGAUCAACUGAAUCAACUGCAAGGUGGAGAAUGUGAAGAUGUGUGUGUGGACUGAAAUGAAGAAUAUGAAAAAGUUGAGAGCUGUUGUGCAGAUUGACUUCAGUUGAUGGGGUCUAUUAGAUAUUGUCUGCUGACGUGGUAUGAAUUCGUUAUAAUCUGUUAUAACGAGUUCAAUAUAUCAGUAUAUAAUGGAGCUGAUGGAUGGUGCCUGUUUUAGAGUCUUUUUCGUAUUCAUUUGUUCAUCAUUUUGCACAAGAUUUGUUCCAUUGUGAUCUGUGUAAAGUCUUCUGUAAAUCCACUCAUGAUUGGAUUAGUUCUUGAUCAAUAACGAGUAAAUUUUCCUUCAAGUGUGCUGGUCUGUGCCCCUGUUUUUGGUUCUAAUAUUGUUUCUUUGUUUUGGCAUUUCAUUUCGAUUGUGUGCUUGGUGUUUCUACUCAUCAAGAUUUGUGAGUCUUGUUGAGAUUAAAGGCUUAAUAGUCUUAACAAAAGGGAAUGUAGCAUUGCCAUUAAUCAACAUUCACUCUUAUGACUUUAUGACAUUAGAAUUAAAAUCUUUCGUACAUUUAAUUUAUUUGCUUCCAAAUUAAUCUUUAAUAAAUAUUUUUUCACAUUAUCAUCAAUGGACAAAACUCCAACGAAAAUAACUACACGAGAACAAUUUAUGCUAGUAUUAAAUGCCACGAUAUCUAUAACUUUGUCUGGAUCGAUCAUUCUAAUUUUUUCGCAGAACUUUUUGUCAAUGGACAAACACCUCACAGAGCUUGUCAGCCGCAUUAUUACGAUGUAAAAUUGUACCGGAAUAUCUUGAAUUAUUAGUAGAAUAAUGAAGACUAUUUGGGGCAAUAAAAACAAAUAACGCAGAUAAAAAAAUGGCUAAAAUUAUGUAAGUGAGCCCCAAAGUUUUUGCUAUUUCCAGGAAAUCCCAAAUUUGAAUGGACUAGAGGGAGGCACGUAAGAAAUACAUUUUCUUCCUAGACAAUGACAGCUAUGACAUCAAGCCACGGUGGCGUCAGUAUUGAAAUUAAGGUGUAAUUAUUCAGCCAAUGAGCCUUACACAUCAAGAUAAAAGUCAAGAUAAUGAAAAUUUGGCUGUUUCCAUUUGAAGUUAAAAGCAACGUUUCUUUCGUUUUGUGGGCGACUCGACUGAGCACGCCCCAAUAGCUAUAUUUAGGGCGUCAAUUUGAUAUUUGAAUGGACAGGCAAGUAAGAAAUACAUUUCCUUCAUAGACAAUGACAACGAGGACAUCAAGCCACAUCAUUAUAGUUUGUAGCCCAUCUACAUUUAAACGAUUAAUAAACAAGCUUAGGUGUGCCACUGCUAUUAUUAAUUAUCCCCUGAUCAUUAUAGUUUCUGAAACAGUAAAACUAAACGAAAUUGAAUACAUCAACGAGACCGCAAUUAUCACUUGUUUAGUUGCGGUAUUUAACUUAAUUUUAAUAUAAUAUAUUUGUUAGUUAAACUUUUAAUAAUCAAAUAAUUUUGAUUUAAAAAUAAAAUUAUAGAAAUUAUUAAUUAUUAAUUAUUAAAAAUUCACAAUUAAGGGAACGUUCAUCAAACACACAUAGCUAUUGUUUUCUCUAUAUAUUGCAGUGUGUACGAUAUUGAGGGUUGAAGCCCCAAGCAUGCUCUAAAAUCCAGAUAAUAAUUAGAUCCGGGCCAAAUAUUCAUCAUUGUGUCAGCUGAUCAGUCGGUGGACAUCUCUAUUGAAAAUAUCUCUGACAUUUCACUCGACAAACUUAUUAAUAUAAAAAAUCUGUGGUUUUGCCGUCUGAAUAAUGUAGAAAAAUUUGUCUAUGCAUUAAUCUAGAUGUUUGAGGUGAUUUAUACAUCUGUGGUAAAGAUUUAUAGGUUGACUUAGACGUCUGUGGUAUAGAUUUUAUGUAUUUCAUUACAAAAUGCUGGCCGUUAGAACCCUUUCUACAUCUAUUUAUAAGAUUAACGGGUGCCAGCUAUGCCAUUACAAAUUAUCCCCUCAUCAGAUAUUUCGUUAAAAUUCAUUCUGAAACACUAAAACUAAAUAAUCGAAUAUGGCUUUGCGGGUCGAUGAUGCCAGCAGCAAUGAGACUGCAAUUAUCACUUGUUUAGUUUCUGUGCUGGCCGUGGUUUACUUCGCAUGGAAUGUGAAAAAAUCAAGGAAAGCAAAUGCUACACUGCCACCAGGACCUCGCGGCUUGCCUGUAUUCGGAUACCUCCCAUUUCUUGGAACUACUGACUUGCACAAGAAAUUCACGGAAUUAUCCGGAGUUUAUGGUCCGAUCUUCAAGCUUUGGCUUGGAAAUAAAUUAUGUGUAGUGGUGAGCUCACCUUCCCUAAUUAGACAAGUGGUUCGUGAUCAAGAUACAACAUUCGCGAACCGUGACCCACCGAAGGCUGCACUAGUGGUCUCCUAUGGUGGCAAUGAUAUUGCAUGGUCCAAUUACGGUCCCGAAUGGAGAAAGUUGCGCAAAUUUUUUGUGGGCAAGAUGAUGAAUAACGCAAGCCUUGAUGCUUGUUAUGCUCUAAGAAGACAAGAGGUUAAAAAUACUAUCAGGGAUUUGUAUAACAACGACAACAAAAUUGGCAAGCCCAUUGACAUUGGUGAAUUGUCGUUUUCAACAUUGGUAUGUGCUAUACAGAACAUGCUGUGGGGUGAAGCGCUUGAAUUAAAAGAGAAAGGGACCACUAAUCUUAGGGCUGGGCUAAAAUUUAAGCUGGCAGAACUCAUGGUGCUUGCGGGAACACCGAAUAUUUCGGAUGUCUUUCCAAUGCUUUCAUGGCUUGACAUACAAGGUAUAGAGAGGAGAGCAAAGAAGAUUUCACUCUGGCUUGAUAAUGUUAUAAAUUCUACUGUUGAACAGCAUAGAAACAAGGAGUUAACUGUUGAAGGUGAAGAAAGAGCGGGGAAAAAUUUUGAAGGAUCAAGGAACAAGAACUUCUUGCAGUUACUAUUGGAGCUUCAAGAAAAUGAUGACAGUGCUUCCUCAAUUAGCAUGAACCAAUUCAAGGCCGUACUCGCGGUAUGUUAAGCAACUAGCCACGAACAGUUAUACAAGCACAAUUGUAUAUUUGCAUGAGUGAUAUUUUCAACCUUUUUUUUUAAUUAGAAUUUUAUUGUCACCUUUUGGACAGGAUAUAAUUACGGCUGGAACCGACACCACAACUACGAUGGUGGAAUGGACAAUGGCAGAGUUGAUGCAGCAUCCACAAGUAAUGAAGAAAGUUCAGGAAGAAUUAGCUCAAGUUGUGGGCAUGGACAGUUGUGUUGAAGAAUUUCACCUGUCUAGAUUAAUGUAUUUAGAUGCUGUGGUGAAGGAAACAUUUCGUCUGCAUCCUGCAGUGCCUUUAUUACUACCACGUAGGGCAAGCGAGAGUGGCAACAUUGGUGGCUAUACCAUUCCCAAAGAUACAACUCUUAUGUUGAAUGUUUGGGCUAUCCACAGGGACCCUCACCUUUGGGAUAAUCCCUUAGAAUUUCGACCCGAGAGGUUUCUGAAUGUUGGUAUCGAGAGUAAGUUCGAUUACUCAGGUAACAAUUUUCAGUACUUGCCAUUUGGUUCUGGUAGAAGGAUGUGUGCUGGGAUUCCUCUAGCUGAGAGGAUGCUGAUGUUUGUUUUGGCUUCGUUAUUGCACUCAUUCGAGUGGGAAUUGCCAACUGGCACAAAGCUAAACUUAUCAGAAAAAUUUGGGAUUGUCAUUAAGAAAAAAGAGCCUUUGGUUGCUAUUCCAACACCAAGACUAUCCAAUUCAGAGCUCUACCAUUAAGACCAAAUGGUUGUGAUGAUUUUGUUAAUUUCCGAAGAUUUGUAUGUUAUUUCAAGUUCAAUCGUAGUAAAAUAUUUCAAAUAAGAGUCCUCCGUUGCUUUUUUUUUUUUUUUUCAACGGCAUAAUCUGUGGUCAUGCUUGUAUUUGGAGCCACUUUAGAAAAAUUAUGUUUGAAUUACAAUUUAUAAAUAUUACAUUUUAAAAUAUUAUGAGGCUAAAUUUAUACACGUUCAAUAACCCGCUUCAUAUAUAUUUAACACAAUUUAUAUCAUACAUUGUACACCCAUUUAUCAUAAAUUACACUAUUUUGUAUCUCUAAAUAAUAUUACGUAUUGAUAUUAUAAAAUAUAUAUGGAAAAGAGAACAAAGAAGAUUUCUUAUGGUUUGAAAAUAUUAUGAAUUCUGCUGUUGAACAGUAUGGAAACAAGGUCUCUGUUGUUAAAGGUGAAGAAGCAACAGGGAACAAUAUUGAAGGAAGAAAUUUCACAUGUUUAGUUGCUGAAUUUGCCGCUGUAUUCUAUCGGUAGUAAAAAAAUUAGAGUUUUUAUUUUUCUCUAUUAAUGUUAAGUCAAUUUUCUAUAACAAAUUCGGUUGAGUUUAAUUGUGUUACAAUAUAAAUUGAAUGAUAAUAGAAUUUUCAACGAAUAUUUCAAUAUUUCUAUCUCGAUUGUUGAAGUGCCAUUUAUUUGUUAUGCGAUCGAUUUUAAAAUUUAUAAAAAUUAUUUGUUACUAAAUUGCAUCAUAUGCUAAAAUCACCUGAAACCUAAUUCCAUAACUAACCCUUUAUUUUUAGUUCUCAAGAAAUCUUGUAAGAACAAAAUUCUUUUAUAACAAAACUUUUACAACACAUUAAUUUGUAACUCAUUCCUGUGCGAGAAUCACUCUCAAAUUCCUUCAAUUGCUGUUGAACAAUCAUCUGCUUAUCAAAAUUCAAGCAUAAUCUUUUCUUUUUUUUAAUUUCUUCAUCAUUCUUUUGAAAAAAAAAAAUCAGGAUAUGCUGUUAAAAUUUUGAAAUAAAUUAUCUCAAAAUAAUUACUAACCAGAAAAAACAAAGGGGUUUAACUAGGUUAUGCAUACCUUUGAAAAUUAUAUGUUGAUCGAUAAGAAUGAUGAUCACGAUUGAGGAGUUUAAUUAAAAUAUAUAAGAUUUUAAAAUUAAUCAGGGUUAAAUUGUGAAUUUUAGAAAGAGAGGUUUUGUGAGAAUGCUGAAAGGGUGUUAAUAGUUCCACUCUUUUUAAAAGCAACCAUAGUCAUCAUUUUUCCCGAUUUCUUCUUCCCAUCUCCAUCUUAUUUAGAAAUUUCCCAGAGCCUUUGUUUCCCACCUUUCAUUGUUCUUCUUUCUAAUUUAAUACUAUAGGAUUACAAAAAUAAUUACUCACAUUUUAUCAAACACCUCCAUUCUACCAAGGCCUUGUUUUAGUAGUAGGCUUUUAUUAUCUCAAUAAAAUUGAAAAAACAAAUCUCAAUAAUAUUGGAAAAAAAAAACCUACCCAUAUUUGUAACUUUAAUUUAUUAUUCUCCAUAGACCUACUUUUUAGCUUUGAAUUUUGUUGGAGCCAUAUAUAAACAGAAUAUGUUGAAUCAGCACCAAAAAAAAAAAAAAAAAACUAAUUAUAUAAUUUCUGUUCCCAAGGACAUGACUGAUUGAUUUUCAAGAAGUUUUGUUUGGCUGGCUACUUAGGUUUAAAUCUUGGUGGAGAUUAGGGGUUAAGAAAUAAAUUUGGACUUUGCACACCCCUUUAACUUUUAAAAAGAAAUGAAAAAAACUAAUUAAUUAAUCUUUAUUUUAUUUAUUAAAUAUCAUAAUCCUAUGCGUAUUUUAUUUGUUAUCUUUCUAUUUAAAAGACAGGAGGGCAGAUAAAACUGAAAUAAAUUUUUAGCCCUAUCUCCAUCUUUCAAGUUCCAUAGUUAGGUGACCAGGUAAAGAAAAUUAAUUGAAAGCUACUCCAUCAAAUUAAAAAAUUUUAUUUAUUUAAUUUGUGGAGAUGUAGAAAAUCAAACCCCAUGCCUUUUCGCGUGGAAAAGUGUCAACCUGGUCUAGCUAUGUUGCAAAAGUGAACAUAUUUUAAUACAUGACUAUCAUCCUUUAUCCUAAAUACUACUAUAACUAAUAACAUACAAUUGAAAUAAUUAAUGUUAACACUUGGCUAUAAAUAAAGGUUUUGUGCUUGAAUCUUCACGCAUGACCUUCAUUCCUUUAUUUACUUUGCUAACACAGAUUUUGAGGCAUUAAAACUAAAUAAUAAUUGACUUUGUGGGCCGAGGAUGCCAGCAACAAGGAGACCACAAUUAUCACUUGUUAAGUUACUCUAAUUGCCGUUGUCUUAUAUUCAUAGAAUAUUAGUAAUAAGAUUAUUGUAGAAUUUUUUUAUAUUAAAAUUAAGUCAAUUUGUUAUAACAAAUUUAGUUGAGUUUAAUCGUGUUACCACAUAAAUUGAAUAAUAAUAAAAUUCUCGACAAAUAUUUCAAUAUUUUUAUCCCAAGCGUUGGAGUGGCAUUUAUUUGUUAUACGAUCAAUUUUAGAAUUUAUAAAAUUAUUCGUUACUGAAUUGCACCAUAUGCUGCAUGACCUGAAACUUAAUAAACGGAACGUAGCGUUGGCACCGUUACUCAACAUACUGUUACGACUUUGUGACAUUAGAAUUAAAAUCUUUUGCACAUUUAAUUUGUUUACUUCCAAAUUAAUAUUUAACAAAAUAUUUUUUCACAUUAUCAAUGGACAAAACUCCAACGAAAAUAACUACACAAGAAAAAUGUAUGCUAGUAUUGUGUGCCAUAUCAUCUGUAAUUUUGUCAGGAUCGAUCAUUCUAAUUUUUAAGCAGAACUUUUUAUCAAUGGACAAACACCUCACACAGCUUGUCAGAGGCAUUAUUAUGAUGGAAAACUGUAAUGGUAUAUCUUGAAUUAUUGGUAGAAUAGUUCUUUGGAGCAAUAAAAACAGAUAAGACAGAUGAGAAAAUUGUCAAUACCCCACCGCAAAAGCAAAAGAAAAAAAGGAAAGGAGACAAAAGAGGAAGAAGAAAAAGAAAAAAGAACGAAGAAAAAAAUGGUGCCGCGCGGUAUAGGCAAGAAGAAAAAAUAAUAAUAAAAUAAUAAAAUAAUAGUGCACAACAGUCAUUUGAUUGCUAUAAAUAAAGGGGCAUUUCCCUCAUUUUAUUCAUCGAAUUCUUCAGUUCCUAAGCGAUUUAAGAGUCUAGUGAUUUGAGAGUUUGGGUAUAGUAUAGUUUUGAGUAGUGAGUUAAAAUAUUACAAUACUUAUAACUUAUUUUUACUAAUAAAAUAUUUUUCUUCUAUCUUCACCCGUGGACGUAGGGUCAAAGCCGAAUCACAUAAUUUUUAGUAUCCCUAUGUGAUUAUGUAUCUCAUUAUUUUUCAAUUUUACUUUAGUUACGUGUCUGCUACAUCCUUCAAUUUACUAACAAAAAUGGCCAAAAUUAUAUAAGUGACCCAAAUUUUUUUGCUAUUUCCAAGAAAUCUCCAAUCUGAAUGGGCCAGACCAGAGGGAGGCAAGUUAGAAAUACGUUUCCUUCAUAGACAAUAACAGCGAUGAGUCGAUGACAUCGAGCCACGUCGGUAUCAAUAUUGAAUUAAAGGUGCAAUUAUUCAGCCAAUGAGCCUUACACAUCAAGAUAAAAGUCAAGAAAAUGAAUAUUUAUCCUAAUUAAAACACUUUCUGGCUGCAUUUAGUUGUUUCCAUUUGAAGUUAAAAGCAACGUUUCUUUCGUUUUGUGGGCAACUCGACUCAGUUAGCUGGCUUCUAGUGCUAGUAAGUGAAAAUAGAAGGCUAAUGAUUUAUUUGUUAUCUUUUGAUAAAAUUAUUAAAGAUAUAAUAGAUUUUUCAUGAUACAAAUAAAAAAUCACAUCAACAUAGCUUCCAAAGUACAACAGCUAAUGUUUACCAAACACUUUGUUGUAGCUUUUAAGCUACAGCUGCCCAACUUUAAUUUCAAAUGCACCCUUAAUAGGUUGAUUGAAUUUGUGGGAUAUAGAUUCCACAUAUCGUAUGACCUAGUAACUAUACAAGUGGUUCGUGAUCAAGACACAACAUUUGCUUCCGGCCCGGUGACCCAGCAAUCGCUGCAUUGGUCGCCACCUAUGGUGCCAACGAUAUUGCAUGGUCCAAUUGUGGCCUUGAAUGGAAAAAGUUGAGCAAAUUAUUUGUGGACACGAUGAUAAGUAACGCAAGCCUUGAUGCUAGUUAUGGUCCAAGAAAACAAGAGAUAUGCAUAACAACAAAAAGGAAAAAAAAAAAAAAAAAAAAAAAGGCAUUUGCAAGCCCAUUGAUAUUGGUGAAUUGUCGAUUUCAACUUUGGCAUGUGUAAUCCAGAGCCUGCGCGCUGUGGUGUGGCGCUGGCACGCUUGCAUUGACGAGGGGACAAGUCUUGGGGCUGAGCUAACAUUUAAGCUCGCAGAACUCAUGGUGCUAAUGGGAACACCAAAUAUUUUUUGACAUAUUUUGGUGCUUUCAUGGUUUAAUUCAAGGUAUAGAAAGGAGUGUUGAGAAUGUCAAAUAAAACGGUAUUGAAUGGAAGUUGUUAAAGACACGAUCCGCACCGAACGACAACAGCACGGUUGCUAAAAAUCCUUCCGUAAUAGGCAUAUCUAAUUUUUGAAAAAGUGUAACCUCUACAUUUAUAAAUAUACUCAAUGUAUAAUGUUUUACUUAAGAAAUGAAAAACUUGUUUGUUCAAGGAGAAUAAAGAAAAAUUUUCUAUGAUUUUUCUAUGGUUUGAACAAAGAAGGUUUUAACGAGUAUUAUAGACCUCGAUUGAAUGUUCGAAUGUAUAAUAAAAGAGAAACUGUCACAUAAAUGACAAAGAUACUUGAAAAAAAAAAAAAAGGGCAGCAAUAGAGAAUUAGAUCCGACUGUACAAAUAACUAGUUAAUUCAUCGAUACAUCAUUUUCUUGCUAGAAAAUGACAAUUAUGACAGCAAGCCACGAUAGUGUCAAUAUUGAAAUUGAUUUGCAAUUAUUCAGCCUAUGAGCCUUACACGUCAAGAUAAAAGUCAAGAAAAUGAAAGUUAAUAUCAAUUAAAACACUUCCAUUUCUAUGUGAAGUUAAAAAACAACGUUUCUUUUGUUUUGUGGGGGAUUCAACUGAGCACGCGCCACUAGCUAGCUGGCUUCUAGUUCUAGCAUAUGAAAACAGAAUUCUAAAGAUUUCACUUUCACCUUUUUUCUUUUUUUGGGGUUUUGAAUCAAAGUCAAGGUCGCACUGAAUAAUAUGUAAAAUUUGAAAAAGAAGAAUUAAUAGAGAACAAAGUUUUGUUUUAAAUUCACAUGGUGUGCAUACAAUUCAACAAACACUUCCUAUAAUAAAUCUGGAGUUGUAUCCCACGUUGAACAAUAAAGGAAAGUCACCUAAAUAUACAUGUAGGAUAAGUUACUUUAUUUAGUAAGUUUGUAUUUUCUUCUUUCUUCUAGUUUACAUAUAAAUUUGAUUAGAUAACUUAACACAUAUUUUAAUACUUGAUCAGAAGCCCGACGUACAGGUGGAUCUAGAAACUUGAUUUCUAAGAGUAAUACUAUAAUAAAAAAAUAAUGAUUCAUAGAACCAAUAUCAAAAUUUGUUUACAAGAUUGCCCCCACUCAAAGGUAAUUUUCAUAGAAAUUAAUAGGAAAUUUAAUUGUUAGUGGGGUCAAAUUGCCCCCACACUCUGAAUGUAGAUCCACGCCCGACCCUGAGUCAAGUAUAUUUUGCCACAUAUACUCUGAAUGUCGGCAGGAAAAAUCUUCCACUUUAGUUAAAAAUUUUCACUUAAAAAAUAUUUAUGUUAAUAAAGUUCGUAAAGGAAAUGAGUUUAAUUAAUGAAUAUUAUAGGAGAAAUUAAAGGAAAUGAGUUUAAUUAAAGAAUAUUAUAGGAGAAAUUCUAUUGUUCGGCUUUUAAUAAAUUAAUUAAUAGGUUUAAAAGAUUAAUAUACAUCAAAAUAUUAUUAGUUGGUGGGGGUUCCACAUCGGACUAAUACGUGUCACCUUACUUGUGAGAUUAAGACAAUCGACUUAGACUAUUUAAAUAUGUUUGAAGCUUAGAUGGCACCGCUUCAAUUUGCAUUACUGAAUGUCAUUCUUUAUCCUAAUUACUACCGUAAUUGAUAACAUGCAAUUGAAGUAACUAAUAUUAGCACUUGGCUAUAAAUGAACUAAAGGCCGUGCAAUUGAAUCUUUACUUGAUCACUUCACUCCUUUAUUUUGCUAACACAGAUUUUGAGAUAUUAAAACGAAAUAAUAAUUGAAUCUGGCUUUGUGGGUCGAUGAUGCUAGCAAAAACGAGACCACAAUUAUCACUUGUUUAUUUGCUGUAUUUGACGUUGUUUCAUAUUGGUAGUAAUAGGGUCAGUUUUUAAUCUUUUUAUAUUAAAGUUAAGUCAAUUUGUUAUCAAAAAAAAAAAUUGGUUGAGUUUAAUUAUAUUGCUAUGUACAUUAAAUAAUUAUAAUAUUCUUGAGGGAAAAAGACACCUAGAACCUCAAGGUUUGGGGAAAUGGUCACAAAGACUCCUAAGUUUUAAAAAAGGAACACUAAGAUCUUUUUUUACCCAUAAUACCCUUUGACUAGAGUAAUUAAAAAAUUGACUUUAAAGGUUUUUAAAUAAUUCUAAUUUAAUAUAAAUCAUAUAAUCUAUCUAGUAAACUAAUAAUAUUAAAUUAUUUUUUAUAUUUAAAAUAAUGUUAAAUUUUAAAUUAUUAUAUUUAUAAAAUUAUAAAGAUUUUAAAUAAAUAUUUGGAUUGAAUAUAUUUUACAAUUAAAAGUCUUCCUAUUAAUAAUAUUAAAAUUUAAUUUUACAAAAUAUAUAUUCAAAAUAUUUUUAAUUUUAAUUUAUUUAUUUUAAUAUUAUGUUUCUACCUAUUAUUAAAAAUUACUUUAAUAUAAUAAAAUAGGUCUAAUAGAUUGAAAAAUAUGAAAAUAUUUUUAAAAUUUUAAAUUAUUUUGAAAUGUAUAUAUUAUUACAUUUAUUUCAAUGUCAUAUUUUCAUUUAUUAUAAAAUUUUGGGGUUAUUUUUUUGGGAAUUUAUAGAGUCAAAGAGCAUUAUAAUUUAAUCCAUGCACAAUAUCUAUAAUUAUAUCGGUUGUCGGCUGAUUUCGUGGAGGGGGCGGCAGUUCAAAAUUUUUACGUGCAUGUUGGAUGGACGUCUCUAUUAAAGGAGAGCCACCACUUGCAUGGUAAUUUUUUUAAAUAAAUAUAUACAUUUCAAAACAUUAUUUUCUUGUUGUAUAGUUAACAUGUCACCUUAGAUGUAUUUUAGAGCUUCUCCUAUUAAAGAUAAUCUCAUGCAGUGUUACAGAGUAUGGUAAUAUGGUAUAGAUGAGAGCAUCUGAUUAAAUGAAGCAGCUGGUAAUGCUUACGUGUGUGAGUUAGUUAUCCAGCUCAGCAGCAAAGCAAACGAAAUGAAUUGCAUGCAUAUUAGAUCCAACAAACUGGUAAACUCUAGAUUCUUCUUUCAUUUAGUAUAAAUACCAAGUUGUUAUCAUUUGCUAAAUAUAUAAUAAGAUGAUCAUUUUCAGAUCUUUCCUUUAUAAUUUUCUAUAACUUUCUCGUUAGUUUCUCUUGAACCAAACACUUUGUACGAACUCUUUCGUGCAGUGAUACUUCUCGUGAUCUAAUCAUUAGUAGAAUCUAUAAUUUCGCUACUGUAAUAAAAUCUGUCACUACCCUAUAUGAAUGUAGAUAUUUGACGCGAUUUGUAAUUGCUUCCGACAGGAAAACAGCAAUAGUUUUAUUGAAAUUUGUGGUAUAGAUUCCACGAAUCUUAUGACAGAAUACUGACCACUCCAACCCUAUCCGCAUUUACACGAUUAAUACACAAGCUUAGAUGUGACAAUGCAUUUGUCACUCAUUCAAAUUCAUCCUGAAACACUAUACACUAAAUAAUCGAAUAUGGCUUCGUGGGUCGAUGAUGCUAGCAGCAACGAGACUGCAAUUAUCACUUGUUUUGUUGCUGUACUUGUCGUGGUCUAUUUCGCAUGGAAUGUAAACAAAUCAAGUAAAGCAAAUGCUAAAUUGCCACCAGGACCUCGGGGCUUGCCAGUAGUCCGAUACCUCCCAUUUCUUGGAACUACUGACUUACACAAGACAUUCACGGAGUUAUCUGGAGUUUAUGGUCCGAUCUUCAAGAUUUGGCUUGGGAAUAAAUUGUGUGUAGUGGUGACCUCGCCUACCCUAGUUAAACAAGUGGUCCGUGAUCAAGAUAUAACAUUCUCAAACCGCGACCCACCGAUCGCUGGAACUGUGACCACCUACGGUGGCAAUGAUAUUGCACUUUCCAAUUACGGUCCCGAAUGGAAAAAGUUGCGAAAAUUAUUUGUGAGCAAGAUGAUGAGUAAUGAGACCCUUGAUGCUUGUUAUGCUCUAAGAAAACAAGAGGUUAAAAAUACUAUCAGGGAUUUGUAUAACAACAAUAAGGAUAAUAUUGGCAAUGGCAAUGGCAAGCCCAUUGACGUUGGUGAAUUGUCGAUUUCAACUUUGGUACGUGUUAUGCAGAACAUGCUGUGGGGUCAAGCAUUGGAAACAAGAGAGAAAGAGAUUACUAAUCUCGGGGCUAAUCUUGCAGAACUCAUGGUGCUACUGGGAACACCAAAUAUUUCGGAUAUUUUUCCAGUGCUUUCAUGGCUUGACAUGCAAGGUAUAGAGAGAAGAGCUAAGAAGAUUUCUCUAUGGUUUGAAAAUAUUAUCAAUUCUGGUGUUGAACAGUAUAGAAACAAGUUCUCUGUUGUUAAAGGUGAAGAAGCUGCAGCACGAAAAAAUAUUGAACGAUCAAGAAAUAAGGACUUCUUGCAGUUGCUGUUGGAGCUUCAGGAAAAUGAAGAUAGUGCUUCAUCUAUUAGCAUGAACCAACUAAAGGCCGUGCUCGUGGUAUGUUAAGCAACUAGACACAAAAAGUUGUAAAAGCACAGCGAUAUAUUUGCGCGAGGCCCCGAGUGAUGUUUUGCCUCGAGAACUCUCAAUUUUAUCUUACGGUAAAAAAUGUUUUUCAACUUUUUUUUUUAAUUAGAAUUUUAUUGCAAUUUAUUUAACAGGACAUAAUUGUGGCCGGAACCGACACCACAACUACGAUGGUGGAAUGGACAAUGGCAGAGUUGAUGCAACAUCCACAAGUAAUGAAGAAAGUUCAAGAAGAAUUCGCUCAAGCUGUGGGCAUGGACAGUUGUGUUGAAGAAUAUCACUUGCCUAAAUUAAAGUAUUUAGAUGCUGUGGUGAAAGAAACAUUUCGUUUGCAUCCUGCGUUGCCCUUAUUGGUACCUCGCACGGCAAGCAAGAAUAGCAACAUUGGUGGCUAUACCAUUCCCAACGACACUAAUCUUAUGUUGAAUGUUUGGGCUAUCCACAGGGACCCUCAACUUUGGGAUAAUCCCUUAGAAUUUCGACCUGAGAGGUUCUUGAAUGAUGGUAUCAUAAGCAAUUUCAAUUACUCGGGUAACAAUUUUCAGUACUUGCCAUUUGGUUCUGGUAGAAGGAUGUGCGCUGGGAUUGCUCUAGCUGAGAGGAUGUUGAUGCUUGUUCUGGCUUCGUUGUUGCACUUGUUUGAGUGGAAAUUGCCCUCGGGCACAAAGCUAGACUUAUCUGAAAAGUAUGGGAUUGUCAUGCGGAAAAAAGAGCCUCUAAUUGCUAUUCCAACACCAAGGCUACCAAAUUCAGAUCUCUACCAGUAAGAUCAAAAUGGUUUUGAUAAUAUUAUUUCCCAUUGUAUUGGAUUUGAAGUUCAAUCAUAAUAAAAUAUUUUAAUAAAAUGUCCUCGGUUGCUAAUUUUUCAAUAGUAUAAUCUGCACCUGUCUUUUAUAGCAAUUUGGUCUAAUUUAUUUUUGAAUUAAAAUCCAUAAAUAUUUAUAUUUUUUUAAUUAUAUUAGGAAUUAUGUGGGGUGUAUGGUCUGAUCUUCGAGCUAUGCCUUGAAAACAAAUUAUGCAUAGUCGUGCACACGCUUUCCCUAAUUAAGUUUGUGGUUCGUGCUCAAGGCACAGCAUUCACCCCCCGCGACCCAACAAUCGCUACAUUGUUCCCCACCUAAAGUGCCAACAUAUUGCAUAAGUAACGCAAAAUAUGGUCCCCAAUGGAAAACGUUGCGCAAAUUAUUUCUGGGCAAGAUGAUAAGUAACGCAAGCCUUGAUGCUUGUUAUGGUCUAAGAAAACAAGAGGUUAAAAAUACUAUCAGAGACAUAUAUAAAACAACAACAGAAAAAAUUGGCAUUAUCAUCGAUAAUGGUGAGUUGUGGAUUUCAACUUUGGUAUGUUUAAUUCAGAACCCGCAGUGGGGUGGCGCUAGCACGCCUGCGUUAGGAGACGAGGGGACCAAUCUUGGGGCCGAGCUAAAAUAUAGGCUUGUAGAGCUCAUGCUGCUAAUGGUAAUGGGAACACCUACUAUUUCGGAUACUUUUCCGAUGCUGGUUUAAUUCAUGGUUUAGAAAGGAGAACAAAGAAGAUUUUUCGAUGCUUUGAAAAUAUUAUAAUUUUUAUAAAAUCUCUUAUUGAUAACUAAACAACUAAAAUUUCUGUAAAGUUUUUGUGGACUUUUGAUCUCCUAUGGUGCCAAUAUUUUCGACUAAUUUUUUCCUUCAAUUAAUGAUGUUGGUUGAGAAAGACUAUUUUUCUUGCAAUAAUAUAGUAUUCGUGGUCCUAUUAGGGUUCCGAAUGGAGAAAGUUGCACUAAGUUUUUUGAGUACCAAAUGAUGAGUAAUGUACGUAAGCCUUGAUGGUAGUUAUGGUCUAAGAAAACAAGAGGUUAAAAAUACUAUCUGGGAUUUGUACAACAAUAACAAAAUUGGCAAGCCCAUUGACAUUGGUGAAUUGUCAGUUUCAACCUUGGUAAGUGUUUUCAGAACAUGCUGUGGGGUGAAGCGCUUGGAAUAAGAAAGAAACGGAUGACGAAUAUUGGGGCUGAGCUUAGAUUUAAACUUGCAGAACUCAUGGUGCUGUCAGGAACACCGAAUAUUUCGGAUAUCUUUCCAGUGCUUUCAUGGUUUGAUAUACAAGGUUUUGAGAGAAUAGCAAAGAAGAUUUCUCUAUGGUUUUAAAAUAUUAUCAAUUCUACUGUUGAACGCUAUAGAAACAAGGUCUCAGUUGUUAAAAGUGAAGAAGAAGACGCAGCAGCAGCAGCAGCAGGGAACAACAUUGAAGGAAGGAAUAAGGACCUGGUGCAGUUACUCUUGGAGCUUCAAGGUAAAGAAGAAAAUGCUUCAUCAAUUAACAUGACGCAAUUUAAGAGCUUGCUCGUGGUAUGUUUGCGCAACUAGCCACAGACAGUUACAGAAACUGAGUUUGGCAGAUUACGACCGUUUCUGGUGAUUAUAUAACUAUUUGUGGCUGUUUUUUGUUUUUUUUUUCUUUUAAUUGGAAUUUUAUUGUAAAUUUCUUAACAGGAUAUAAUUUAGGGUGGAACCAACACCACAACUAUAAUGGUGGAAUGGACAAUGGCAUAAUUGAUACAGCAUCCACAAGUAAUGGAGAAUGUAAAGGUAGAACUAAGUCGGGCCGUGGCCAUUGACAGCCAUGUUGAAGAAUUUCACCUACCUAAGUUAAAAUAUUUAGAUGUUGUGGUGAAAGAAACAUUCCGCACGAUAAUAUAAUAUAUGAAUCAUAUAUCCUCUAUUGGUUUUUUGCUCCUUUUUUUUUCAAUAGCUUAAUCUAUCAUUAAAAUCUUCUGAAAUUCUAAAUUAAUAUACAUUCAACCUAGAGUUCAACCCAAAGUUUUAUUGAGCAUUAAAAAAAAAAAUUCUACGACUAAAAAUUUUACAGAGUAUAAAUUAAAAAUUAUGCGCCUACUAACAGACAAAAAACAAUUGAUACACAUUCACCAAUCAAAGGCAAACAAGAGAUUAUUAACAAUAACUUAAUAAUAAAAUUAUAAGGAAUCAAAUAGAAAUGGUACCUAGAAACACAUCACGCCAUUUAAUCAAUCACUUACCCAUAAAAUCCAAACUUAUAAACUAUUAAGGGGGGGAAAUGGAUACCUUUGGGUUUCAUUAAAUCAAAAUUACAACACCAUUAAAUACUCAAAAAUGAAAAAAAAAAAAUCAUACCCAAUAAAAGAGAAAAAAAUAACCCACAAAAAAAAUCAUCAAGAAAAUAAAUUUGAGACUAAGAGAAGAUAUUAAUUAACGCCUGGGUUGCAUUGGAACCACGGCUUUGGCUUCCAUUUUUCAAUUCUUGGUCACAAGUGAUUUCUUGUUUGUUUGCAAUGAUGACGGUUGAUUAAUGAAGCUCUAUUAACAAUGAAUGAAUCAAAAAACUUGAGCCUUGAAAAGACUAACGGUCAUAUUUUUCAACUCCGAAUUAGUGGCGUUUGAUGAGUCCUUGCCAAAACAAUCACUCGGCAGAUAACGAUCAUUUUUCAACCAGCAAAACUCAUUCAUUGUUUUUCACCUUAGUGAAGAUUUAAAAAUUGUUUCAAAAUAGGAUUCUUAAAAAAAUAAUAAUAAAAUGAUAUUUAACUUAAUUCUAACUUAGGAAAACAAAAUAUCUACACUCCCAAAGUUUGGAGAAAUGGUCAUUAAUAUCCCCAACUUUCCAAAAAGAGACACCAAGAACCCUUUUAACCAUAAUACUAUUUACUUCUAUUAUCCCAAAAAACAAUUGACUCUAAUAUUUUAUAAUAAAUAAAAAUAUAACAUUAAAAUAAAUGUAAUAGUAUAUACAUUUUAAAAUAGUUUCAAUAUUUAAAAAGCAUUUUAAUAUUUUUAAAUUCUAUUUUAUAUAUAUUGAUUAUUUUAAAGUAAAUUUUAUAAUAAAUAGAAUCAUAAUAUUAAAAUAAAUGCAUUAAAAUUUAAAUUAUUUUGAAUAUUAUGUAAAAUAAUAAUUUUAACAUUAUUAGUAUAUGAGAAUUUUUUUAAUUGUAGAAUGCAUUUAAUGCAAAUAUUUAUUUAAAAUCUCUACAAUAAAUAAAAAUAUACUAUUAAAACAAAACUCUACAAUACAUACAUACAUACAUAUACAUUGGCCUGGUAUUUUUAUUUUUCAUUUUUAAACUUAUUAAAUCCUCUAACUAUCAUUUGAUUUUUUUUUUUUUUCAAUGAUCAAGAGGUCAUUGCCGGAUAAAUGAUUAAAAUCAACUAGUUCUACAAGAAUAUCUCUUUUUAAAGGAAGAUGAUUCUCUCUCUCGAAAUUUUUUUAUCUCGUGCUACAAACUAAAAACUUAUGCCACUUCAUUAACCACAAAGAUCUUUGAGGAAAUGAUGCUUCCCUCCCCCCCCCCCCCCCCCCCCCUCCCACAAAAAAAAAAAAGAGUCCUUCCAUAUUGUGUGAAGGCUAAUAUAUCGAUGAAUCUAGAUUUCUUUAAAUUUUUUGUUUUACUCAAUUCGAGAUAAUAAUUCAAUCCAUGCAAAUAUCUAUCAUUGUAUGAGCUGACCAGUUAAUAGGUUGAUUGAAUAUAUGUGGUAAAGAUUCCACGUAUCUCAUGACAGAAUGCUGACCACUGGAACCCUAUCUACUUUUACGCGAUUAAUUCACGAGCUUAGGCACAACAAUUGCAAUACAAAUUAUCCCCUCAUCGUAUAUUUCGUUAAAAUUCAUUCUGAAGCAGUAAAACUAAACAAUCGAAUAUGGCUUUGCGGGUCGAUGAUGCCAGCAGCAAUGAGAGUGCAAUUAUCACUUGUUUAGUUUCUGUGCUUGCCGUGGCUUAUUUCGCAUGGAAUGUGAAAAAAUCAAGGAAAGCAAAUGCUAAACUGCCACCAGGAACUCGCGGCUUGCCUGUAGUCGGAUACCUCCCAUUUCUCGGGACUACUGACUUGCACAAGAAAUUCACGGA